ACAUCCAGGACGACUGCCGCGCGACUUGCCGUGGUCUCUGCGAUGGCUUCGGUACGAACACGUGCAAUAACAUCAUUGCCAUCGCCCCUGCUGUCCUGAACAAUAUCAACUUCUUCUUCACGACGUGCAAAGUGAGGGUCUCUGGGCUGUGCGCGUCCUUCUGCGUCACUACCUGCAGCCUCAACACCGUGACGCCGGCCAGCCCGCCGCCACCACCAUGCAAGCCAUAAUUGGUCCAUGCGUAUUACUACAGCAUGAAUGUAAUUCAAGUCCCGGCCGUAGAUCCGGGUAAUUUGCGUUCAAUUCUAAUUUCCCUUUGAUUGUUCCGGUUGUCGUGUCACCAAGUACUAGUCAUGCAUUAUUGUGCACACCUGCAUAUGUAAUUUUAUUUGAAAAGGUUAUUACCUAUCUUGAGAAAUUUACGGCUAUUAUUUUUACCGCGAUAUAUUUACCUGCAUUGUACCUUCCAUCACAUUACUAUGGUUAAUUUUUCUAUUUCUCUAUCUUCUAUCUCUUCCCAAAAGUUUGAGCUGAUGUGCUCCUCCCUCCUCUCGGACACAAUUCCACUACUGGAUACUCCCUCCAUUUUUAUUUAUAAGGUGCACACACAUAUCAAGAUUCAAACUUUGCAAUCUUUGACCAAUAACAUGACCAUUAAUCUUUUAUUUGUAUAAUAUAAACUUUGUAUGGUUGGAUUCAAAAUCAAAUAUACUCUACUGUGAUUAUAAGUUUAUAAUCAUAAGUAAUAUAAUAUAAGAAAAAUGAAUGUCAUCAAAGUGUUAUUUAGAAGAUCGUGCCAAAUCAUACUAUACCUUAUAAAAAUAGAUGGAGGGAGUACUACCCUAACUGCAUUAAAUAGAUCGUUGAUGUUUCGCCACCAAAACCCCCAAUGUUGAUCUUCCACCACCAUGGCUAGAGGCACAACGCCACACAACCCCCACCCUACCCCCCCCCCCACUCCGAUGCCUCCAGCAGGCUAGCAUACGCCCAUGGUCUCCCCCUAAGCGUGCGCCUCAUCCAACCUGAACCCUAAACAUCGCCAAUAAAAAUUGGACAACAUAGCUACAACCCUCGACUGUAUGUGGUCGCAGAGGCUUGAUAUUUUUUUUCCACUUUCUAAAAAAACAAUAGCAAACCCUGCCGAUCGUGAUAUGGACAGUCAGCAACCCUAUUUCUCCGAAUUUUCAUAUGCAGGGACUGGAUGACACGUUCAUUAUAAACUCCCUCAGUCAAUGGUGCUCAUUAGAAAAUGUUACACAUGCUGGUACGCUGGUGUGUAUGCAUGUAAUAUCUCAUUAACUACUACAACGAAUGAAAUGCAUGCUCAUCCUACUGUAAUGCAUUCAAACGACUCUAAGGGCCUGUUUGUUUCCCUCCUGGAUUAUAUAAGAGCAACUCCAAGAGUUCCCCAAAAAAUUCUUCCCCAAAACGAGGUAUUGGGAGCUAUGCUAAAAAUUUUUUCCCCAAAAAACAUAUCAGCCCGGAGCAGAUCGCUAAAAACUACUCCUCAAUAAUUUAAAAGAGGCCACGUCAUCGGAUUGGGCCCAUUAGUAUCGGUUGAUUUUUUUUCUCUAGUACCGUGUCCUGAGCCCGUCAAAAAUCCUUCUCCGGUACCCUAUCACGCCGCCUGCCUGUGCGCACGGAGGUCCCACGCCGCCACCCCCCUGCGCAUGGUGGACUAACUCUGGCAGCCCCUGCGCGGCAUUCCUGAUGCCAGCAGGCCUGCAUCCUGCAUCCUCCGUGCACUGCGCUGGAUCAAAGUAAUGAUUAACUUCGCAGCAUCAUUUUCAUUUUGUUUUUUUGUUGCGAUCAGCUUUGACAUGCUAUAAUGAGGAUUCUAUCGUAAUGAGGUUUUUGUGGCCGCCAAUACCUAGGAAAAACAGUUCCUUCGAUCGCCAACUUGAAUUGAAGAUAGGUAAAAAGGAAUUGCUAUGAAUCGAUGAAGCCUUUCGAUGCAUCUGGUGUUAGAUUCGUCGUCAGAUGAUGACGAUGAUGAUUUCUUAAUCUCUAUCAUAGGUCGUCAAGUACUUCAGCGAGAUAGACAGGCAGGGCAUCAAAGGUUGUAUCAAGAUUAUUUUUCAGAUGAUCCUACGUACGGACAUAGUUAUUUCAGAUGACGGUAUGUAAACAAUAGAUUUAUUUGGACCAUUUUUUCAAAAAAUUCAUAUUAUACAUGUGUCUCAUUACUCUUGACAUGCAGGUUUCGAAUGAGGCGUACACUGUUUGUACGCAUAUGGAAUGCCGUAGAGCAACAUGAUGAAUAUUUCAUGCAGAAAAGAAACACUGCCGGUGUACUUGGCCUUUCUAGUCUGCAAAAGAUUACUGUAGCAUUUCUGAUGUUAACUUAUGGAGUAGCAGCUAAUGCUACAGAUGAUUAUGUCCGUAUCGGUGAGAGUACUGCUAUUGAGAGUCUGAGAAGGUUUGUCAGUGCUGUUGUUGAGGUUUUUGGAGAUGAGUACUUGAGAUCACCUAAUGAAGAUGAUACUGCUAGAUAACUUGCCAUUGGAGAGAGUAGAGGUUUUCCUGGUAUGCUUGGGUCGAUUGAUUGUAUGCAUUGGAGGUGGAAAAAUUGUCCUUCGGCAUGGCAAGGUAUGUAUACUGGGCAUGUGCAUGAGCCUACAAUUAUACUUGAAGGUGUUGCAAAUAAAGAUCUUUGGAUUUGGCAUGCUUUCUUUGGGAUGCCUGGUUCCCACAACGACAUCAACGUUUUGCACCGGUCUUCUUUAUUCGCACGGCUAGCUAAAGGUCAAGCUCCAAAGGUGAAUUAUACCAUUAAUAACAAUAAAUAUACAAUGGGUUAUUAUCUUGUUGAUGGCAUAUAUCCCUUGUGGGCCACAACUGUGAAGAGCAUACCUGAACCACAAGGUAACAAGAAGAAAUAUUUUGCAACUGCCCAAGAAAUUUGUAGGAAGGAUGUGGAACGAGCGUUUGGGAUUUUACAGUCUCGUUUCGCUAUCGUUAGUGGGGCAGCUCGAUUUUGGGAUCAAGACACCAUCGGACAAAUUAUGAGGGCUUGUGUCAUUAUGCACAACAUGAUAGUUGAGGAUGAGCACGAUGAGGAAGAUGAUUUAAAUUAUGAUGGGGUGGGAGAAAAGGUGAAGAUUUCUCACGAUGAAACACCUGAGCUUGAGGAGUUUAUUAAAAAUUACAAGAAUAUAAGGGAUAAAGAUAUUCACAAUCAGCUUCAAGAUGACCUCAUUGAGCACCUAUGGCAACAUCAUCCAGACCUCUACAAAUGAUUUGCCUAUAGUUCAUAGUAAAUGUUACUUUCAAUAAUUUUUGCUACAUUAUAAUUUUUUUAUAAUUUGAGAUAAACCAUACAGACAUAAACAAUUUGUUGGUACAUUACUACUAAUUUAUUGGAUGUUUGCAUACUGUCUCUUAAGUUUGUAGAGUGCAAAAUUAUGCUGCCUGACUUUACAAGGCAAACCAUGCAGUUUGCUUCAGAACACCACAUAAAGCAUCACUGAAUUACCAAACCAAGCAAGCCAUCAUUAUUAUAACAGAACAAGUCUGAAAACAGUGUAACACAUCUAGCAUCCGUUUAACUGUGUUCAUGAAUGCUCCUAACUGUGAUUAAGAACAAUCAAAAUAUCAAAAUAGGCAGUAAUGAACUAAUCAUUACAUCAAGCUGCAACAUCUGCAUGCAUAUCUACCUGACUUGGCACAACAUAGGGAGCUAUAGAUUGUCUUCUUGUUAGUCUUUGAACCUGAUUCUCAAGAUAUUUUGGUAUGCCGUCUCUCAGAGGCAUUCAGAGUCUCCAUGUAUUGCUACUCUAGUGUCUUCAUAAUUUCUCUUUCCACAACAGCAACAGCCUGAAUAUAAGAAAUAUCAAUUGAAUCCAUUGCAAUAGUACGCACAUUUAUGCUAUCAAUAAUUAAAAAUAUCAAAUGAUGUGUAGUUUCAGAUUCUCCAAAAUGAGACAUAAGCUUGUCAACAAAAUCUCAUAUGUUCAAAAUUGAAUGGCUUCAAUGCUGUUCCUAACUUCAAAGUAUCAACAGGAAAAAUUAAUAUUCUUACAAGAUGCUUUGCUAUUGAGUUGUUGUUCAUCUCUUUCUGUAUCCAAGAUGGCGGUCCAAUCUCAUAGACAGCCCUUGUCCUAUUUUCUGUUCGAUAUUUGUUCGAGAAAAUAAAUGGCAAUGCCGUGUUACAACAAUCCUGGGCUAAACAGGUCAAGACUCAUUGCCAGGUUGGGCAUCGGAAUCAGGCUGCUUCUGGUGGCUGCUGCCAUCGCUGUCGUUUUGCUCAUUCAUAUCCUUAUUAGUAUAUUAUGUUUACCACACAUAAAGAAAAAAUAAGAUUGAGCAUUUCAAAGAUGAUCCCCAUAACUUAUCCACCAACCACAAAUUUAAAAAUCAGUGUGAAGACCCUAUAGCUUGCUGCUAGCUAUUCUUUUGUUGUUUACUAAGUUUAAAGGACGGUGUUCAGAGGAACCCAGGAAAUUUUUAGCUGAACAUGGAAAAUGGAAACAACAGGGCAUCAAAUAGUUUGUCUCUGGAAUUGCUACUUCAAAAUGGUUAUCUAGAAUAGCAUUAUCAAUACAGUGAAUAUAAAAAAACAGUAUUUGGUUCUACAAAGCAAGAAAUACUGUACCAACUAAACAAGACAUAUCCUCAAAGAUCAAGAUUUUAGUAUAAUUAUUAUACUUCAUAAAGAUAAGCAAAUACAUGUCGAGGGACUGUACCCUUUGAUCUCCUCAGGCUGAAUAAGAUAUGCCAUUCUGAGAACUGCCUGCAUAUUGACAGAUUACACCCAUCAUCUUAUGAAAAUAGAUAUGCAAUUCUAUUAGUCUUUAUCAUGAAAAAGAAACAAGUCCUCAGAUGCCUACCGUCUUCCUUUCCAUCAUUGUCCUUUGAGUGUGAAUCCUAUUACAGCAAAAUUACUCAUACGUCUGAAAGAAGUGUUAUGACAAGAAAGAAUUCUCCGCGCAUAUGCCAUGGAGUGGUGUGCAACAAGAGGGAAUCAGGGAAUCAUACCUGCUCGGGAGGCUCGGGGAAGCCUUGCUGCUCGGAGUCGACGGCGACGGCUCGAUGGAGACUACCAAAGUGCCGCGGCGGGUGGGAGACGGUGACGGAAGGGGCUGGACAGGUGCCGGGCGCGAAGCAGGCAUGGGAGCAGGGCAGCGCAGUGCGUGGCGGCGCGGGGGCCAUGUAGGGGUGGUGGGAGAGCGUCUUUCCACCAAAAUGAGCCUUUUUGUUAUGUCCAAGCAGUUUUCCAUUAUGAUAGUAGUUGUCUCAGACUAGAUGUACCUAUGGGAUGUCUGCCUUCGAGAAGAACUUAUGGAGGAACUUGAGCAGGAGAGCCUCAUCUUGGCUAUUCAGAUUAAUGACUCCAAGUCCUCCUUGCUGUUUGGGCAGGCAUACCAUAGGCCAGGCCGCUUUGGAUGGCUUUUUAGAUGAUAAGUCAGAUCCUCGCCAGAGGCAAUGCUUCCUAUAUUUGUCCAGUUGAGAGAUGAACCCCUUGUGAAGCUUCAGAGUGGCCAUAUGGAACAUUGGUGAGGACGAGAACACCGAAUUAAUCGGCUCUAGUUUGCCCCCGUGGGAUAGCAUGUUGAAGAUACCCCCUAUCCUUCUCUCCAGUUUCUUGAUUAGGGGUAGAAAUCCCUCAAUAUUAGGCUUUGUUGUUCCUAGUGGGAGUCCCAGGUAAGUGAAAGGAAAGCUUCCAAUCUGACAGUCAAAAACUGAUGAGAGUUGUUGUAGUUUUUCCUCAGGCGUGUUCAGGGGGACCAUAAAAGAUUUGUUGUAAUUGACCUUAAGUCCUGUUGAGUCUGCAAAAAGGUUUAGCAAAUGCUUUAGAUGCAGCAGCUGAACUGGGUCGGCUUCCAUGACCAGUAAGGUAUCAUGUGCGUAUUGGAUAACUAGGAAAUCUAGACCAGCUCUUUCAGGUAUUGGCAAUUGUAAGCUUCCUUCCUCUUUGGCCUCAUUCAAAAUAGAUUGAAGGAGGUCCGCUACUAGCACAAAGAGGAGUGGAGACAGCGGAUCCCCUUGCCUAACCCCUCGUCUGCAGUGGAAGACUUUCCCUGGUACUCCAUUGAGUAGAAUUGAGGAUGUUCCAGAACCGAAGAUGUCCUGAAUCCAUCCUAUCCAUCUAUUCCCAAAGCCCUUGUGUUUUAGGAUGUCCAAGAUGGCUUGGUGUUCUAUUCUGUCAAAUGCCUUCUCGAAGUCAAGCUUGAGAAUGAUGAGCUCCUUCUUGGAAGUCUUACAAAUGUGUAGAUAUUCAAAUGCUCAGGCUAAACAAUCUUGAAUAGAUCUGGAUUUUAUGAAACCAUAUUGGUUCCGAUGCAGUACUCUUAGGAUGAUCUUCUGAAGCCAUUCUGCUAGGAGCUUGGUUAUUUUCUUGAUGGUUGACUUAAGGAGGGAGAUAGCUUUGAAAUCUCCGACUUCCAUGGGGCAGUCUUUUUUGGGGAUGAGUGUGAUGUAGGAGGCAUUGAUAUUUGCACGCAUACUCUUUUGUCAUAGAACCCCUCACAUAAUUCAUAGAAGUCUUCAGCAAUUACCUGCUAGCAUGUCUUGAGGAAUUCCCCAUCGAAGCCAUCUGGGUAGGUGACUUGUUGCUUGGAAGAUCCUUGAUAAUUUGGUCAAUUUCUUCUUUUGAGAAGGAAGCUUCCAGCCAUUCUAAAUCCAGAACUGGUGUCAAAAGAGAGGGGAGUUCAAAGUACAUGUGGGUAAUUAAGAUCUCCCCAUCCUUUCUUUGUAAGCUUCCCAAAAGAGGUGAGCUUUAGCUUCAUGAUCAGAGAAAGACUACCCAUUGGCAUCUGUUAGUGAGGAGAUGUAAUUGAUCCUAUUUCUGACAGAGGCCCGAGCAUGAAAAAAUCUUGUACUUUCAUCCCCCAUUUUUUGCCCAGUUAAUAGAGCUUCUCUGCUGCCAAUAGACCUUCUGUUGAUGAAGAAGGCUAUUAAGAUGUGAUGAUAUGAUUUCCCUAAAGUUCCACUCCUGCAGGGUGAGGUCUCUGGUUUCUUCGAUGAUAUCUAAGAGCUGCAGGACAUCUUUUGUGGUCUGAAUUGUUUUGGCCAGACUGGGAAGUUGAGACUUCCAAGUCCUAAAAACCUUUCUCAUGUUUUUGAAUUUGGCUCCUAUGUUCUUUGCCUUGUCAGAGCUGGGAAAAGGUGACACCCAUCCUUGUUGGAGAAUGAAAGGGGAUUGAUCAUGCUCUAGCCAGUAGUUCUCAAAAUGGAAGACCUGUGGUGUUGGUAGGCUAUUAGAGAUCGACACAAUGCAAGGGAUAUGAUCCGACGAGUCCCUGGAUAACGAGGGAAAAAUGUGUUGGGAUAAGUUAUAAUCCAAGAGCUAGAGAUGAAAAAUCAGUCUAGUCUCUCCAGCAAGGGGAUGAUUUGUUUGUUGGACCAAGUGUACUUGCAACCUUUAAGGUGUAUCUCUGUUAACCUAAGCCUGCUAACUGCUUCCUUAAAGAGAAGCAUUUCCUUGACAUGUCCUCCCGAUUUGUUUCUGUCCUCUGGUUCCCUGAGAAGAUUGAAGUCCCCAACUAUUAGCCAUUUUUCAACCUCAGGCAUUUCUAUCCAUUUGAACCAAUCUAUAAAAGGCAUCUUCCCCUCUGGGGUGCAGGGAGCGUAAAUAUUAGCGAGGGUCCACCUGUCUCCUGAUAGCUUGCAUUGUUGUUUCGGAAGAUAGGCUGACCCUUGAGCUUCGAGCCAUUCCAUGCUAUUAGAGUGCCCCUCGAGUUACCAGUGGAUGGGAGGAAGUCAAACAGAUCUAGUUGGGGGGUGGCAGAAAUUCCAGAUGUAUCUUGUGUCAAAAGAUUCACGUUUAGUCUCAUGUAGACAAACCAUAUCGUAGUUGGACUCAGAAAUUUUACUUUUGACUACGUUCCAUCUUGUCUGGGAGUUGAUGCCCCUAACAUUCGAGGAUAACAUGUUCCAGGAUCUUUUUUGGUUCAUUUGGAAAUGGUGUGUGCUUGGUAAUACCUCACUGCCGGCUCAACAAACAGUGGCAAAAUAAGCGUGGAAAGGAUAAACCUUGAACCAAAAAGCCAAAAAGGAGGGGAUGAACCCCUCAAAUUCUUUGAAGCAACACAACCACAAUAAGGUAAAUCCCACAUUAACCAAACAGCAAAAUAACUAUUCCUAGGAAGUUUAAACCACCAACAUAGUGUGAUUUGCAACAUAAAGAUAAAUGAAAGAUACUUGUCUUCACUAAAACAGACCAGCUGGAAGAUCUAACCAUGUCCUAGAUCCCUAGUGCUUCUUGAUUGUAUCCCAGGCGUUGUCUGUUUUGGCCCGAUAUUUCUUCGCUUUCCCCUUACGCGGAAUAUCCACCGAGGCCUUUUCCUUUCCAUCUCCAAUGGUCUUCUGAGAGGUGGGCUUGGAGAUCAAUAGAUCAUCAGUGGUUCAGGCAGAGUCGAUGCCACACACCUGCCCACCUAGGUCUUGAAUGCUUGAAGAAGAGAGAGAUGGUGGCGCUGCAUUGCAAGCGAGGCAGUUUCUAUCCUGGCAAUUUUUUUUGCGAAAUCCUCCCCUUCUAUCUUUGAGCCUAUUGCUUCUCCCGAUGCUAGACUCAACUUCCAGCACAGCCCUUGCUCCCAAUCUAGCCCUAGCUUUCUUUGGAGCCUUUUGUUUUUCUAGCUCAGGUCCGAUUCCUUCAGAGGAGAAGAAGUACCAGUCUCCUCCUACUCAUUAAGAAAAAUAACCGGGCUGCUACUGAGACACAAAGAACGGAUGGCGAAGGCCGUCAUGGCAAAUGAAUCAGUGCAGCUUAGCAAUGCCUCCUUGGCUCUGGAGGCUAGGAACUUCUUGGCCGAAUCGAAGUGUUGGGGGGAUAGCAACACCACUAUGAAGAAAUUGGCCCAAUGUGUUGGUAUGUGAACCACCUACUCAAGAUAUCCUACAGGAGAGAAAACCUGGGCCCAAAUCAUGUAGACAUUUGGAUUUUGACUUGGAGCUGAGGCCCUGGGGUGGUAAUGUCCUUGAUGCUAGGUCCAUCUGUCAGAGGAACUGAUUGUCUGAGUCUGCCUAAGAGAAGGUCCAGGUCAUGUGUGUUUGGUUGAACUGGGGUGAGGACCAUGUUGACAUUAAGAUUAACCUAAAAAGGGGCCUCCUAGGCUUGAUUUGGCAAAAUGCCCUGCUGUCCUGGGGGGAUGCCAGGCAACCCCAGCACCACAUCCUGAUCCAUCUCCAUAUCAUUGAGUUGAGCCCCAUCUUGUUCUGCAUGGAAGUCCAUAUUUUGGCCCAAUGGGGGCACUGCAGCCACCACAUCAUCCAAUUCCAUAAUCUGAUUGUUGAGAACCGGUGGGUCUUGCACGAUAGCUUGUGGAACCCUUGAAUUAUAGAUCACCACUGGAAGAGGAUAAUUGUCAGGAGCUGAAGAGCUCGAGGAGUUGGUUGGAGGAGACAGGUUAAGGUCACUGGUGGAGGGAGAGCCUGCACUCCACUCUCAACGACAACUGUUGUAAUAUUCCAAAAAUUUGAAAUAUUAUCAUGGUUGUAAUUUUCUCAAAAAUUUGAAAACUUUAUGUAUGGAUGUGUGCGUGUUGCAAACUACUCUAUCUCUCUCUCCUAAAUUCUAAAUUUGAAUAUGUGUGGCAUGAUUUGGAGUUAUGGAUCUUAUUUGGAGUUCUUGUUUGAGUGUUGUAUAAAAGCAAACUCAAUCCCUAAAUUCAAAUUCAUAUUCCAAAUUCAAAUAUGAAAUCAGAUAAAAACAAAAGCAAAACAAACUCCCUCAGCCAGGCCAGCCUACCGGCCCAAAACUGCUUUAAGCUCAGCUUGCCACGCUAAGUAACCAGGCCGCCUUCGGCCCAACUUCAACCACUGGCCCGCCUACCCUCUUUCCUCUUUUCCAGCUGCAGCGGGCCACCCACCUUUCUUUCUCUUUUGGCCCAGCCCAAAGCAACCAGCCCUCUUAACCCUUUCCCCUUAGCUUCGUGGGCCGCUCUUCCUUUCCUUCAGGCCGGCUCGCAGGCCACUUUCUUCUUCCACAAACCGCCAGCCCAGCCCGUCUCGAUCUCCCCUCUCCUGUUCUUCUUCAACCUCGCACGGACGCAAAAGCUUCACGCACAGGUGCACUACCUCGCAGCUGGGGGUGGCGUGUCCCCUUUCUGGAGGCUUCCACCAGGCGCUUCUGCUACCCCUACUCCACCACCUAACCCCGCUCCCAGGGCCGUCAGAUGCGCCGCAACGGGCUCCAGGUGCGCAACCCUAGGAUCAACGUCCGGGCUACUCUAAGCCCCUCCACUGCCUUGGCCAGGCUAUAAAAUGGGGCUUUGGGCAUGCCCUAAGGCCAUCCCAUCCGCUCCAGGGGCUGCCUGUCCACCACCGCCACCCAGUUGAGAGGAGGGCCGAGUUGAGAAGAAGGGUUGGGAGGAGAAGGAGGAGGCCCUGUCGGAGGAGUCGUUGCCGUCCGCGGGAGAAAAAUGGCUCUGUCCAUGUGAAGUGCCGUCGCCAACUUCUUCCUCCUCGCCGCCGUCUACCUCGUCUACUCUGCCGCCACCUCUUCUUCCCCUUCACCGAGACAGCCUCGUAAGCCUCCAAGAUCUCACCUUUCCCCUCUCUCCUGACUACCUGAAACCCUAAAGCCAUGGCCUUUGUGCUACCCUUUGCCUGCUCCGCCUGUGGAAGCGCUUUGUCGCCACUAUCCUUGCACUUGAGCUCGCGUGCACCUCCUUGCUUGCUCUGGCCUCGCUACUUGCGCUGCUCGCCUGGCUUGCCUUUGCCGUUUUCGCGUGCGCCAACUCUGCUGCUUGCCUUUGCAUGCACCGCGCCCGCACACCGCUCGAUCGUGUGCCCACAUCCAACUAACGCGACGUCGCGCGAGGUUCGCGGUCACCGCGGCUGCUGGCUGCGGCAUCGUGACACUGGUUUGCGGUCACCGCCUGCGCGUCGCGCCGCACAGCGUGUUGUUCGCGCACCAUAGCUCGCCGCCUGCCCGCCGUGCGCGCUCCGCACCUCGCCGUGACACGCCACGGCGCGCCAACACUCGCCGCCGUCGUCGCAAGCCACGUGGCCACCCCAUCACCGCCAUGUGAUAGGUGGGGGCCCACCUGUGGGUCCGCUCGUGGGGCGUACCUUGUGGGGCCCACUGUUGACCUAUGGGGCCCAUGCGUUGACCGUUGACCAUUGACCCAGUAAUGCUUCUUUCUCCUCUUUGCAGGGUCCUCCUCGUAUGCAGUCCCUAUAAUGAAUUUGCAACAUGAGCAGUUGUACCUGAAUCAAUCCACCAAGUAUAUUUUGCAUAACUUAAAUACAAGGACUCAUCUACAAAUGUAAUAAGAUCCUCACCUCUAUAACACACAUGCUUCAGGAAAUCCACACAGCCUUUCUGGUAGUAUUCUUUCUUCUUGCACCACUUGCAAGUGUCCUUGUCCACCACCUCUUUAUGGUUUGAUCUUUGAUGGUGAUCAUACAUUGGAGCCUUUCCAUGUGCCUUAGAAAAAGAGGCGUUCCACUGAGGUUUCCCUUGUGGCUUAGAAUUCUAAAGAUUCCGCUUCUUGUUUUGCCUCAGGUAAUUGACAGUAUCACCGGGCGAACCCUUAAGCCUCUCUUCUUCUUGCACACACAUGGCAAUCAUCUUCUUAAUACCCCACUUUUCUGGCUAUGAGUUGUAAUUCACAGCAAAGGUCUCAAACUCUUUGGGCAGGGAGGUAAAGAUUAGAAUGGACAAUAAACUCUUUUGGAAGCUCCAUUUCCAUAGACUUAAGCUUGGAAGAUAUAUUGUUCAUUCUCAAUAUGUGAUCCCUUAUUCCACUGCCAAUAUACUUCAUAGUAACAAGCUUUCUUAUGAGAGUGCUUGCAUAUGCCUUUGAUGAUCCAGUAAACUGACUCUCCACAUUUGUCAAGUACUUCUUAGAUCUACAACAGGGACUUCCUAGAGGGGAGAGUGAGAGGAUGACCGACCGUCGGGCUUCAUCAGAGGACGCCAUGGCGGUGUUGGUGACGGUGACGUUGACGCAGAGGUUAGGUGUUGGCGGUGCUUCCCGCCACUGACAUUAGGUGUUGGCGGUGCUUCCCGCCACUGACACCAUCUCCAGUAGAUCAGCUAGAGUUUGUUGGUGGGUUUGGUGGGCACAGUGAAUCUUGGUUUGCGUGCCCUCGGCCUCCACCUUUCCUUUUAUUUGGCAAUGUGCGACGGGGCCCCACCAACCAUGACUGGUUGUGCGCCCCCGAUCAGGGCGCGAGAUAAGGCUCGAACUCGUCCGUUGGGGCGAGUCUGUUGGGAGAUCAAACUAACAAAUACAAGUGAGCGAGUGAGGGAGCAACACUUUAUCUUUGGAUAUGAUCCCAAAUUGCAUGCUUUUUUUUCCUAGGUGCAUAGUUGUAUGAUGCUUGAGCUAUAGCAUUGCCAAGUUCAUCACUGUUUCCCCUAUUACACAGGUAUUUUCUUCACAUCAAAUGGAUCCACUAGCCAUGCUAUUAUUUUUUUGUUGGAGAUCGAAAAGUUCUGUUGCAUUGAUUCAGAUUGAAUUUACUACAAGCUUAGAGGGUGAUCCUGAUUCGGGCGUGCAGCAGGCAAUCUUAUUUAUCCUAAUUUUAAGUUGUGUCUGCGUGCAAGAUAUGUUAAAGCAGCAAUAAGCUGCAUAGCCUAACAUUAAAUGCGCACUAUAUGUGCAGAAACUUAUAUUUUCACUUAAAGAUCACAGCGAUUAGGCUCGAGCUUGCAACUCAGAAAAUAGAGAGGCUGCAACAAGCGAUCAAAGGCCGCGUUAACACUCAGAAUAAGCUAUGCUCAGUCUAAACCCCCUCCACGCAAAAGGACGAAUGGCGGGGUGACAUUUUUCAAAUUGAAAAUUCAUCUUGUCCUUUCGCACCAAAGCUUUAGCCUCAGCCAAAACUAUCACAGCAACGCAAGAAGGUGACAUUUUUCAAAAAGGCAUCCUCACUCCCCUUUUUCCUCAGGUCCUUGCCGACGCGAGACUUUCUCACAGACUUCUUCACUUUCAAACUGGCCAACGCGCCGGCAGCCUUGAGUUCGGAUUUCAUCGCAACCGGGACAACUUUGGAGACAGGGGGCACGGAGGAUUUUGCAACCUCGCUCGAAGUGCCUUGUCCAAGCUUUUCUUUCUUCUUCUGAGCCUUGAGGCUGGAGGUCUUUAGUUUAGCUUUUUCAACCUCGAGCACGACGAUCGCUUGGUUGUCAUCCUUCUUUGAAGUCCCUGCCGCGACCUUAAGAGCGAUCCUCUCGACUUUCCUCUUUUUCCCUCUGCCACUGCCACCAGCCUGCUCCGAGCCUAUUGCGCUAGUUUCUCGCAUCCAUUUCAAAAUCUUACAAGGUUUGGGGUGAGGCGCAACCUCAACCUCUAGUUCUUCAAACACACGAUUGACCCGAAGCUCGUGUGCGACGAUCCCACGGGCCAAUGACAGCUAAAUCUUAGUGCAGGGGCCAAUAAUAUCAAUGUCAUGUUUCUGAACAUCAUCUGCAAAAAGACCGGGGUUGGCACCCUCGGGCAGCUCCACCCCGAAGCGAGGGUAAGGGAGUGGGCUAGUACUCCACGGAACCUCCUUCAGCACAAUCUCCAGCGGACACCACCCAUCAGAAAGGGGCCAAAUGUUAGUUGCCAGAAACUCUUCAAUGAAUCCCGCCCGGGGAUCAACUUCGAGGCUAGGAGGAAAGCGCCCUCGCGUUCAUUGACUACCUUGGACCUCGUAAAAGCAGAGGUAGUACUAAUGUCCAUAGGGCCUAAGGGAGCAUAGAAGGGAUAGAAAGGUCGGCUAAUACCAAACGCAUCGGCCAUAUCAAUCUUAAUAUAGAACUAGUAGCUUAGCCAGUCGUCUUCCCACCUAUUCCUCUAUGCAUAAGAAAGCACAAUCCUCUUGAUUCCUUGCUUCUCAUUGUUCUUCCUCCGAGCCGCGAAGCUACAGCACCCAAACUUUGUCUCAAAAAUACCUUCCUCGUCAUCAAACAUAACUCUCUUCCUCUGGAUAUGGAGUUCAAACAAUCUCGUGAAACCAUCGACAUCAAUGUGACCGCCAAAAGUACGCUGCACCCAAUAGAACUUGGACAGAGCAACAAAGGCAUUCGGAGUGAGAUGAUGAAGCCUUGCCUUGUAUUGGUCCAAGAUCAUAUGCAAUUCCUUGUCACACCAAAAUCUCAAUCCGACAAUGAAAAAAAUCCUUGAACACAAUAGCCUCGCCUACCCUAGGCGCUAGCACAUCUUCGUCACCAGGUGCCCUAGCGAAACCCUCGGGGAAGUAGCCCUUGUCAACAUAAUACUUUAUCAUGUUGUUGGAAACUAAAGACUUCUCGAACUGCAUGGUAGGGACGUAUACUUCCUUUACUGCCAUUAGCUCUAACGGAUCUGCCUCGACGCCUGUAAGGUCCUCUCUACUUUCGGAGCUACUCUCAGAGUCACCGCUGCCUGCGUUACCCUCGUCACCGUAGGUUAGCUUCGCGGCGUCCUCGAUGGCCUUAUCCACAUCCAGGUCUUCCUUAGCCUUGUUGGAAAGCCUAGUCUGUUCAGCAAACUCCUCUGAUGUCAUGGGCCUUGUGGUUCGCAUACUACAAGCCAGCUGCAAAGCAUCAAAACAUCAUCUCAGAAAUAAAAGCAAAGGAAAAACUCACAGUAAAAGAGAGACACAAAUAACAUCAUUACCUUCGAGAUUCUUGAGGCCAAGGACAACAGCAUACGCCACACGAACCUCAAAGCACGGAAGCAACGAGCGAAGCAGGAGUACAAAAGGUCUCAGCCGUGAGGGUAAAAACAAAAGCGACCUGCACCCCACCCCCCACCCUUUAUAGGAGCGUUAAAGGGCGCGAAACGGCGCCUAAAACCUCGAGCCAAAUAUGAAGGGUCAUCCAAUAGGAAAGCGACACAAUACACCAAAAAGGUAACCGUUGGCUCAUUUCUAACCGACGCUCGAGGGUGACAUUUUUUAGGAUCAGAUCGUUAAGUCGCGGGUUCGGUCGUCGGUGUCGAGCCUCGCCCACGAGGGGCUACUGUUGGGGAUUGUCCAAAAAAUAUGGUCACCCUUGAGGUCGUUUUGUUUACCAUGAUCAACUCAGCCCCGCAAAAUAAGUAGCCUCAGGUGAGGGUUCCUAACCUCGAGGAACAAAUCUGGCAUGAAAGAUAGCUCUAACCUCGCGACGCUGCCGCGAGGUCAGUCUCAAAGCCGGGAAACAAUUACUGAUUGUCAAGCACUGAUGAAGCUUACCCUUGAGCGCUCAAAGCUGACUCCGAGCGCCGAGUUGUCCACUAUCUUAUGCAGGGUCGUUGAAACAAGCCGAGGUUCACGGCGCGGAGGUGGGGUCUCUUUGGCCCGAGGCUAAGGUGGUCUUGGGCCAGAGGUCAAAGUCAUGGAGGUGCUAAAAACGUGGGAGCGUGAUUCGCGGGACUUGCUGAGAGCGUGAUUCGCGGGAUUGCCUGAACGCGUGGGAAGCAUGAUUAAAGGAGGAGACCAAGUCAUACAAGUUACCUCUUAAAAAGACUUCUAUGUAAAGCAUAUUCUAGUAACGUAGUGGGUGAGUAAGGAUAAUUGCGGAAUUUAAAGUGUCCUCCGAGAUACUAUAAGAAAGGAGAGCCCUACCCAAUGUAACGUUACGUUCAUUUUCAUGGAAUUGAAUCGCAGCAACUGAAACUUGUUUCCCAACAUCAGCACUGUUUCCCUAUAUUACACUUGUAUUUUCUGCACAUCAAAUGGAUAUGCACAUCAAAUGAGCUAUUAUUUCCGUUCGAAACCAAAAAGAUCGAUAUGUUGCAUUGAUUCAGAUUGAAUUUUACGCCAAGCUUACAUGGUGAUUCUGAUUGAAUUAUUUAUCCUAAUUUUUAUAUGGGGUUGCUGAAUCAGGCGAGCCCAUUAAUUAGUAACACAUCUUGAUGUGUCGGCGGGUCAACCGUGUUAACGUGCAUGCUACUUGCACAACUGUAUUAUACUCUCACGAUGGACAAAUUUUCUGCCUACAAAUAGCGCAUCUGCAUUGCUAUCCCAACAUGCACUUCUCCUCCUCUCCAUCUGAUCUCUUCCUAUAGCUAUAGCUGCAACAACUAGCUAGUCCUGAUCACCAUGGCUGCCGCGAUGCUCAAGAUGGCCAUUGUUGCCGCCUGCAUCGCGCUGGCCCUGCUCUCCAUGGGUCCGCCGGCGGCGAUGGCUGACAUCCAGGACGACUGCCGCGCGACUUGCCGUGGUCUCUGCGAUGGCUUCGGUACGAACACGUGCAAUAACAUCAUUGCCAUCGCCCCUGCUGUCCUGAACAAUAUCAACUUCUUCUUCACGACGUGCAAAGUGAGGGUCACUGGGCUGUGCGCGUCCUUCUGCGUCACUACCUGCAGCCUCAACACCGUGACGCCGGCCAGCCCGCGGCCACCACCAUGCAAGCCAUAAUUGGUCUAUGCGUAUUACUACAGCAUGAAUGUAAUUCAAGUCCCGGCCGUAGAUCCGGGUAUUUGCGUUUAAUUCUAAUUUCCCUUUGAUUGUUCCGGUUGUCGUGUCACACCUGCAUAUGUAAUUCAAGUCCAGUCAUGCAUUAUUGUGCACACCUGCAUAUGUAAUUUUAUUUGAAAAGGUUAUUACCUAUCUUGAGAAAUUUACGGCUAUUAUUUUUACCGCAAUAUAUUUACCUGCAUUGUACCUUCCAUCACAAUACUAUGGUUAAUUUUUCUAUUUCUCUAUCUUCUAUCUCUUCCCAAAAGUUUGAGCUGAUGUGCUCCUCCCUCCUCUCGGACACAAUUCCACUACUGGAUACUCCCUCCGUUUUUAUUUAUAAGGUGCACACACAUAUCAAGAUUCAAACUUUGCAAUCUUUGACCAAUAACGUGACCAUUAAUCUUUUAUUUGUAUAAUAUAAACUUUGUAUGGUUGGAUUCAAAAUCAAAUAUACUCUACUGUGAUUAUAAGUUUAUAAUCAUAAGUAAUAUCAUAUAAGAAAAAUGAAUGUCAUCAAAGUGUUAUUUAGAAGAUCGUGCCAAAUCAUACUAUACCUUAUAAAAAUAGAUGGAGGGAGUACUACCCUAACUGCAUUAAAUAGAUCGUUGAUGUUUCGCCACCAAAACCCCCAAUGUUGAUCUUCCACCACCAUGGCUAGAGGCACAACGCCACACAACCCCGCCACACAACCCCCACCCCACCCCCCACCCCCCCACUCCGUUGCCUCCAGCAGGCUAGCAUACGCCCAUGGUCUCCCCCUAAGCGUGCCCCUCAUCCAACCUGAACCCUAAACAUCACCAACAAAAAUUGGACAACAUAGCUACAACCCUCGACUGUAUGUGGUCGCAGAGGCUUGAUAUUUUUUUUCCACUUUCUAAAAAAACAAUAGCAAAAACAAUAGCAAACCCUGCCGAUCGUGAUAUGGACAGUCAGCAACCCUAUUUCUCCGAAUUUUCAUAUGCAGGGACUGGAUGACAGGUUCAUUAUAAACUCCCUCAGUCAAUGGUGCUCAUUAGAAAAUGUUACACAUGCUGGUACGCUGGUGUGUAUGCAUGUAAUAUCUCAUUAACUACUACAACGAAUGAAAUGCAUGCUCAUCCUACUGUAAUGCAUUCAAACGCUCUAAGGGCCUGUUUGUUUCCCUCCUGGAUUGUAUAAGCCGGAUUAUGGUUAAAGGGUAGGAGGAUAAAAGGUCAUCAUGGGACCACUAGGGGACCCCAAAUAAGCUAGCCUUUGGUAGCUUAUUUCAGAUUAUAUGUGGUCCCAAAAUGAUAUUUUACCAUAGUAUUCAAGACCCAUAAUCCGACUUAUAUAAUUUAGGUGGAUUAUAAUCCCAAACAAACAGGCCUAUACCUUCUAAUGCUCAUCACACUGCUUGCUGCGUCAGCCACGCUUGCAAACGUGCAUGCUACUUGCACCACGCUGCUCGUUAGUCAGCAGUUUGUAGCAGCCAUGCAUGUUAUCAUUUUCUAUCAACGAAUCUCAGGAGCAAGCAUACACGUACGUACGUGAUGGCACAAUUGUGUACAGCGGAUGCCUAUAUCUUGCUAGACUAAUAGGAGAGAGUACGUUUGGAAUGUCGAUGCUAAUCAUAGCGAUCAAAACGCGAUAGAAAAAAUUGAUAAAUCCUUCUUGUUCUUCUUUUUGGUCUCGACCAUUAUGAUUCCUUAUGGUAUUUGGAUGGAAUGAACUUGGGGAUAAGAGUGAGUGAGCGAGCAACACUUUAUCUUUGGAUAUGAUCCCAAGUUGCAUGCUUUUUUUUCCCAGGUGCAUAGUUGUAUGAUGCUUGAGCUAUAGCAUUGCCAAAUUCAUCACUGUUUCCCCUAUUACACUGGUAUUUUCUUCACAUCAAAUGGAUCCACUAGCCGAGCUAUUUUUUUUGUUGGAAAUCGAAAAGAUCUGUUGCAUUCAUUCAGAUUGAAUUUUACGACAAGCUUAGAGGUUGAUCCUGAUUCGGGCAGCAGGGCAAUCUUAUUUAUCCUAAUUUUUAUAUGGGGUUACUGAAUCAUUGCGAGCUCAUUAUGAACUGCCAGCAGUAGUCAACGGUACUCCUGCUAGCACCAAAUCUUUUAAUUCUAUUAUUGGUGUGGGUGUGGGUCAACCUGUUUACGUGUUGCAUGUGCGCUACUUGCAGAACUGUACAUGAACCGAGGGGGGAACGUUGUUGAAAGUCCAGUCAUUCCUCACAGACCAAAUGCUCCAGGUCAUCAGGAUAGUGAUCUCCAUGAAGAAGGGUACAUUCAGCUUGUGUUGGAUAGAGCUGAGUAUCCGGAGUGGAUGUCUGGUGGUAACCGUUGUUACUCCAAUGGAUGACCAACAGGUUUUUGCAAAGUUGCAUCUGAAAAAGAGAUGUGCCAUUGUCUCUCUUUUUUGAAGGAUGCAAUGCUCACAGGUAUAGGAUUCAAGGCUCAUUGUUUUCCUGCCUAGGAUAUCCUUGGUACUUAGUCUGUCUUUACUUAGCAGCUAGAAAAACACCUUAUCUUUCUUUUGGCGUUUCGACUUCCACAGCCAUCGCUGGAUUGGGUGGACACUUCUCAGGCCCAUCACGGCCUUGUAAGUUUUCGCAACUGAGAAGUGGGGGCUGCCCCAGAUGUAGGUCUACUGAUCUCUAUCCUGCUGAGUGACAACAUUCCUCAUUCUAUUUUGCAGAGUAAGUAGCUGUUGAUGGGCUUCUCCGAGAGUGGCAGAUGGAAGUUGUGAGAUAGGGAAGGUCUCCUAAUGGCUUCUUUGUAUGUGAUUAGCUUGUUUUUAGCGAACGAAGAGAGCUGGGGAAAUUCCAGGGAGAGAACCUGCUCGUUCCAUGUGUCCAUCCAGAAUAAGAUAGUACAACCAUCCGAAACCCAUACUAAGGCUGUCUAGUAAUUUAACUACGUCUUUCCACCAAAAUGAGCCUUUUUGUUUAUGUCCAAGCAGUUUUCCAUUAUGAUAGUAGUUGUCUCAGACUAGAUGUACCUAUGGGAUGUCUGCCUUCGUGAAGAACUUAUGGAGGAACUUGAGCAGGAGAUCCUCAUUUUGGCUAUUCAGACUAAUGACUCCAAGUCCUCCUUGCUGUUUGGGCAGGCAUACCAUAGGCCAGGCCACUUUGGAUGGCUUUUUAGAUGAUAAGUCAGAUCCUCGCCAGAGGCAAUGCUUCCUGUAUUUCAGUUGAGAGAUGAACCCCUUGUGAAGCUUCAGAGUGGCCAUAUGGAACAUUGGUGAGGCCGAGAACACCGAAUUAACCAGCUCUAGUUUGCCCCCGUGGGAUAUCAUGUUGGAGAUACCACCUAUCCUUCUCUCCACUUUCCUGAUUAGGGGUAGAAAUUCCUCAAUAUUAGGCUUUGUUGUUCCUAGUGGGAGUCCUAGGUAAGUGAAAGGAAAACUUCCAACCUGACAGUCAAAAACUGAUGAGAGUUGUUGUACUUUUUCCUCAGGAGUGUUCAGGGGGACCAUAACAGAUUUGUUGUAAUUGACCUUAAGUCCUGUUGAGUCUGCAAAAAGGUUUAGCAAAUGCUUUAGAUGCAGUAGCUGAACUGGGUCGGCUUCCAUGACCAGUAAGGUAUCAUGUGCUUAUUGGAUAACUAGGAAAUCUAGACCAGCUCUUUCAGGUAUUGGCAAUUGUAAGCUUCCUUCCUCUUUGGCCUUAUUCAAAAUAGAUUGAAGGAGGUCCACUACUAGCACAAAGAGGAGUGGAGACAGUGGAUCCCCUUGCCUGACCCCUCGUCUGCAGUGGAAGACUUUCCCUGAUACUUCAUUGAGUAGAAAUAAGGAUGUUCCAGAACCGAGGAUGUCCUUAAUCCAUCCUAUCCAUCUAUACCCAAAGCCCUUGUGUUUUAGGAUGUCCAAUAUGGCUUGGUGUUCUAUUCUAUCAAAUGCCUUCUCAAAGUCAAGCUUGAGAAUGAUGAGCUCCUUCUUGGAAGUCUUACAAAUGUGUAGAUAUUUAAAUGCUUAGGCUAAACAAUCUUGAAUAGAUCUGGAUUUUAUGAAACCAUAUUGGUUCUGAUGCAGUAGUCUUAGGAUGAUCUUCUGAAGCCAUUCUAUUAGGAGCUUGGUUAUUAUCUUGAUGGUUAAGCUAAGGAGGGAGAUAGGUUUGAAAUCUCCGACUUCCAUGGGGCAGUCUUUUUUGGGGAUGAGUGUGAUGUAGGAGGCAUUGAUAUUUGCACGCAUACUCUUUUGUCAUAGAACCCCUCACAUAAUUCAUAGAAGUCUUCAGCAAUUACCUGCUAGCAUGUCUUGAGGAAUUCCCCAUUGAAGCCAUCUGGGCCAGGUGACUUGUUGCUUGGAAGAUCCUUGAUAAUUUGGUCAAUUUCUUCUUUUGAGAAGGGAGCUUCCAGCAAUUCUAAAUCCAGAACUGGUGUCAAAAGAGAGGGGAGUUCAAAGUACAUGUGGGUAAAUAAGAUCUCCCCAUCCUUUCUUUGUAAGCUUCCCAAAAGAGGCGAGCUUUAGCUUCAUGAUCGGAGAAAGACUACCCAUUGGCAUUUGUUAGUGAGGAGAUGUAAUUGAUCCUAUUUCUGACAGAGGCCCAAGCAUGAAAAAAUCUUGUACUUUCAUCCCCCAUUUUUUGCCCAGUUAAUAGAGCUUCUCUGCUGCCAAUAGACCUUCUGUUGAUGAAGAAGGCUAUUAAGAUCUGAUGAUAUGAUUUCCCUAAAGUUCCACUCCUGCAGGGUGAGGUCUCUGGUUUCUUCGAUGAUAUCUAAGAGCUGCAGGACAUCUUUUGUGGUCUGAAUUGUUUUGGCCAAACUGGGAAGUUGAGACUUCCAAGUCCUGAAAACCUUUCUCAUGUUUUUGAAUUUGGCUCCUAUGUUCUUUGCCUUGUCAGAGCUGGGAAAAGGUGACACCCAUCCUUGUUGGAGAAUGAAAGGGGAUUGAUCAUGCUCUAGCCAGUAGUUCUCAAAACGGAAGACCUGUGGUGUUGGUAGGCUAUUAGAGAUCGACACAAUGCAAGGGAUAUGAUCCGACGAGUCCCUAGUCUUUAAGCCUAUUGCUUCUCCCGACGCUAGACUCAACUUCCAGCACAGCCCUUGCUCCCAAUCUGGCAUUGGCUUUCUUUGGAGCCUUUUGUUCUUCUAGCUCAGGGUCUGAUUCCUUCAGAGGAGAAGAAGUACCAGUCUCCUCCUACUCAUUAAGACAAAUAACCGGGCUGCUACUAGGGCACAAAGAGUGGAUGGCGAAGGCCAUCAUGGCAGAUAAAUCAAUGCAACUUAGCAGUGCCUCCUUGGCUCUGGAGGCUAGGAACUUCUUGGCCCAAUCGAAUUGUUGGGGGGAUAGCAACACCACUAUGAAGAAAUCGGCCCAAUGUGUUGGUAUGUGAACCACCUGCUCAGGAUAUCCUAUAGGAGAGAAAAACUGGGCCCAAAUCCUGUAGACAUUUGGAUUUUGACAUGGAGCUGAGGCCCUGGGAGUGGUAAUGUCCUUGAUGCUAGGUCCAUCUAUCACAGGAAUUGAUUGUCUGAGUCUGCCUAAGAGAAGGUCCAGGUCAUGUGUGUUUGGCUGAACUUGGGUGACUACCAUGUUGACAUUAAGAUUAACCUGAAAAGGGGCCUCCUGGGCUUGAUUUGGCAAAAUACCCUGCUGUCCUAGGGGGAUGGCAGGCAACCCCAGCACCACAUCCUGAUCCAUCUCCAUAUCAUUGAGUUGAGCCCCAGCUUGUUCUGCAUGGAAGUCCAUAUUUUGGCCCAAUGGGGGCACUGCAGCCACCACAUCAUCCAAUUCCAUAAUCUGAUUGUUGAGAACCGGUGGGUCUUGCACGAUCACCACUGGAAGAGGAGCUGAAGAGCUCGAGGAGUUGGUUGGAGGAGACAGGUUAAGGUCACCGGCGGAGGGAGAGCCCGCACUCCACUCUCAACCACAACUGUUGUAAUAUUCCAAAAAUUUGAAAUAUUAUCAUGGUUGUAAUUUUCUCAAAAAUUUGAAAACAGUAUGUAUGGACGUGUGCGAGUUGCAAACUACUCUAUCUCUCUCUCUCCUAAAUUCUAAAUUUCAAUAUGUGUGGCAUGAUUUGGAGUUAUGGAUCUUAUUUGGAGUUCUUGUUCGAGUGUUGUAUAAACGCAAACUCAAUCCCUAAAUUCAAUUUCAUAUUCCAAAUUCAAAUAUGAAAUCAGAUAAAAACAAAAGCAAAGCAAACUCCCUCAGCCAGGCCAGCCUACCAGCCCAAAACUGCUUUCAGCUCAACUUGCCACGCUAAGUAACCAGGCCACCUUCGGCCCAACUUCAACCGCUGGCCCGCCUACCCCCUUUCCUCUUUUCCAGCAACAGCGGGCCACCCACCUUUCUUUCUCUUUUCGCCCAGCCCAAAGCAACCAGCCCGCUUAACCCUUUCCCCUUAGCUUCGUGGGCCGCUCUUCCUUUCCUUCAGGCCGGCCCGCAGGCCACUUUCUCCUUCCACAAACCGCCAACCCAGCCCGUCUCGACCUCCCCUCUCCUAUUCUUCUUCAACCUCGCACGGACGCAAAAGCGUCGCGCGCAGGUGCACUACCUCGCGGCUGGGGGUGGCGUGUCCCGCUUCUGGAGGCUUCCACCAGGCGCUUCUGCUACCCCUACUCCGCCACCUACCCCCGCUCCCAGGGCCGUCGGAUGCACCGCAACAGGCUCCAGGUGCGUAACCCUAGGAUCAACGGCCAGGAAACUCUAUGACCCUCCACUGCCUUGGCCAAGCUAUAAAAUGGGGCUUUGGGCGUGCCCUAAGGCCAUCCCAUCCGCUCCGAGGGCUGCCUGUCCACCACCGCCACCCAGUUGAGAGGAGGGCCGAGUUGAGAAGAAGGGUUGGGAGGAGAAGGAGGAGGCCCUGUCGGAGGAGUCGCUGCCAUCCGCGGGAGGAAUAAGGCGCCGUCCGAGGGAGUACCUGCGCGAGAAGAAGGCACCGUCCGAGGGAGCUCCAGCGAAGAAGGAGGCGCCGUCCAUGUGAAGCGUCGUCGCCAAUUUCUUCCUCCUCACCACCGUCUACCUCAUCUACUCCACCACCACCUCUUCUUCCCCUUCACCGAGACAGCCUCGUAAGCCUCCAAUAUCUCACCUUUCCCCUCUCCUGACUACCUGAAACCCUAAAGCCAUGGCCUUUGUGCUACCCUUUGCCUGCUCCGCCCGUGGAAGCGCUUGUCGCCACUGUCCUUGCAUUUGAGCUCGCGUGCACCUCCUUGCUUGCUCGCCCCUCACUACUUGCGCUGCUCGCCCGGCUUGCCUUGGCCGUUUUCGCGUGCGCCAACUCUGUUGCUUGCCUUUGCAUGCACCCGCCCGCGCACCGCUGGGUCGUGUGCCCGCGUCUAACCGACGCAACGUCGCGCGAGGUUCGCGGUCACCACGGCCGCUGGCUGCGACAUCGUGAUGCCGUUCGCGGUCACCGCCUGCGCGUCACGUGGCACAGCGCAUCGUUCGUGCACCGCACUCGCCGCCUGCCCGCUGUGCGGGCUUCGCAGCUCGCCGUGACACGCCACGGCGCAGCAGCACUCGCCGUCGCCAUCACAAGCCACGUGGCCGCCCCGUCAGCGCCAUGUGGCAGGUGGGGGCCCACUUGUGGGUCCGCCCAUGGGGCAUACCUAUGGGGCCCACCGUUGACCAGUGGGGUCGAUGCGUUGACCGUUGACCAUUGACCCAGUAAUGCUUCUUUCUCCUCUUUGCAGGGUCCUCCUCGUAUGCAAUCCCUAUAAUGAAUUUGCAACAUGAGCAGUUGUACCUGAAUCAAUCCACCAAGUAUAUUUUGCAUAACUUAAAUACAAGGACUCAUCUACAAAUGUAAUAAGAUCCUCACCUCUAUAACACACAUGCUUCAGGAAAUCCACACAGCCUUUCUGGUAGUAUUCUUUCUUCUUGCACUACUUGCAAGUGUCCUUGUCCACCACCUCUUCAUGGUUUGAUCUUUGAUGGUGAUCAUACAUUGGAGCCUUUCCAUGUGCCUUAGAAAAAGAGGUGUUCCACUGAGGUUUCCCUUGUGGCUUAGAAUUCUAAAGAUUCCGCUUCUUGUUUUGCCUCAGGUAAUUGAUAGUAUCACCGGACGAACCCUUAGGCCUCUCUUCUUCUUGCACACACAUGGCAAUCAUCUUCUUAAUACCCCACUUUUCUGGCUAUGAGUUGUAAUUCACAGCAAAGGUCUCAAACUCUUUGGGCAGUGAGGUAAAGAUUAGAAUGGACUAAAAACUCUUCUAGAAGCUCCAUUUCCAUAUACUUAAGCUUGGAAGACAUAUUGUUCAUUCUCAAUAUGUGAUCCCUUAUUCCACUACCAAUAUACUUCAUAGUAACAAGCUUUCUUAUGAGAGUGCUUGCAUAUGCCUAUGAAGAUCCAGUAAAUUGACUCUCCACAUUUGUCAAUUACUCCUUAGAUCUACAACAGGGACUUCCUAGAGGGGAGAGUGAGAGGAUGACCGACCGUCGGGCUUCAUCAGAGAACGCCAUGGCGGUGUUGGUGACGGCGACGUUGACACAGAGGUUAGGUGUUGGCGGUGCUUCCCGCCGCUGACAGCGUCUCCAGUAGAUCAGCUAGGGUUUGUUGGUGGGUUUGGUGGGCACAGUGAACCUUGGUUUGCGUGCCCUCAGCUCCCACCUUUCCUUUUAUUUGGCGCUGUGUGACGGGGCCCCACCAACCAUGACUGGUUGUGCGCCCCCGAUCAGGGCACGAGAUAAGGCUCGGACUCGUCCGUUGGGGCAAGUCCGUUGGUAGAUCAAACUAACAAAUACAAGUGAGCGAGUGAGCGAGCAACACUUUAUCUUUGGAUAUGAUCCCAAAUUGCAUGCUUUUUUUUCCUAGGUGCAUAGUUGUAUGAUGCUUGAGCUAUAGCAUUGCCAAAUUCAUCACUGUUUCCCCUAUUACACAGGUAUUUUCUUCACAUCAAAUGGAUCCACUAGCCAAGUUAUUAUUUUUUUGUUGGAGAUCGAAAAGAUCUGUUGCAUUGAUUCAGAUUGAAUUUACUACAAGCUUAGAGGGUGAUCCUGAUUCGGGCGUGCAGCAGGCAAUCUUAUUUAUCCUAAUUUUAACUUGUGUCUCCGUGCAAGAUAUGUUAAAGCAGCAAUAAGCUGCUUAGCCUGGCAUUAAAUAUGCACUAUAUGUGCAGAAACUUAUAUUUUCACUCAAAGAUCACAGCGAUUAGGCUCGAGCUUGCAACUCAGAAAAUAGAGAGGCUGCAACAAGCGAUCAAAGGCUGCGAUAACACUCAGAAUAAGCUAUGCUCAGUCUAAACCCCCUCCGUGCAAAAGGACGAAUGACAGGGUGACAUUUUACAAAUUGAAAAUUCAUCUUGUCCUUUCGCACGAAGGCUUUAGCCUCAGCCAAAACUAUUGCAGCAACGCAAGAAGGUGACAUUUUUCAAAAAGGCAUCCUCACUCCCCUUUUUCCUCAGGUCCUUGCCGACGCGAGACUUUCUCACAGACUUCUUCACUUUCAAACUAGCCAACGCGACGGCAGCCUUGCGUUCGGAUUUCAUCGCAACCGGGACAACUUUGGAGACAGGGGGCACGGAGGAUUUUGCAACCUCGCUCGAAGUGCCUUGUCCAAGCUUUUCUUUCUUCUUCUGAGCCUUGAGGCUGGAGGUCUUUAGUUUCGCUUUUUCAACCUCGAGCAUGACGAUCGCUUGGUUGUCAUCCUUCUUCGAAGUCCCUGCCGCGACCUUAGGAACGAUCCUCUCGACUUUCCUCUUUUUCCCUCUGCCACUGCCACCAGCCUGCUCCAAGCCUAUUGCGCUAGUUUCUCGCAUCCAUUUCAAAAUCUUACAAGGUUUGGGGUGAGGCGCAACCUCAACCCCAAGUUCUUCAAACACAUGAUUGACCCGAAGCUCGUGUGCGACGAUCCCGCGGGCCGAUGACAGCUCAGUCUUAGUGCAAGGGCCAAUAAUAUCAAUGUCAUAUCUCUCAACAUCAUCUGCAAAAAGACCAGGGUUGGCACCCUCGGGCAGCUCCACCCCGAAGUGAGGGUAAGGGAGUGGGCUAGUACUCCACGGAACCUCCUUCGGCACAAUCUCCAGCGGACACCACCCAUCAGAAAGGGGCUAGAUGUUAGCUGCCAGAAACUCUUCAACGAGAUCCCGCCCGGGGAUCAACUUCGAGGCUAGGAGGAAAGCGCCCUCACGUUCCUUGACUACCUUGGACCUUGUAAAAGCAGAGGUAGUACUAAUGUCCAUAGGGCCUAAGGGAGCAUAGAAGGGAUAGAAAGGUCGGCUGAUACCAAACGCAUCAGCCAUGUCAACCUUAAUAUAGAACCAGUAGCUUAGCCAAUCGUCUUCCCACCUAUUCCUCUAUGCAUAAGAAAGCUCAAUCCUCUUGAUUCCUUGCUUCUCAUUGUUCUUCCUCCGAGUCGCGAAGCUACAGCACCCAAACUGUGUCUCAAAAAUACCUUCCUCGACAUCGAACAUAACUCUCUUCCUCUGGAUAUGGAGUUCAAACAACCUCGCGAACCCAUCAACAUCAAUGUGACUGCCAAAUGUACGCUGCACCCAAUAGAACUUGGACAGAGCAACAAAGGCAUUCGGAGUGAGAUGACGAAGCCUUGCCUUGUAUUGGUCCAAGAUCGUAUGCAAUUCCUUGUCACACGAAAAUCUCAAUCCGACAAUGAAAAAAAUCCUUGAACACAAUAGCCUCGCCUACCCUAGGCGCCAGCACAUCUUCGUCACCAGGUGCCCUAGCAACACCCUCGGGGAAGUAGCCCUUGUCAACGUAAAACAUUAUCAUGUUGUUGGAAACCAAAGACUUCUCGAACUACAUGGUAGGGACGUAUACUUCCUUUGCUUCCAUUAGCUCUGACCGAUCAGCCUCGACGCCUGUAAGGUCCUCUCUACUUUCAGAGCUACUCUCGGAGUCACCACUGCCCGCGUUACCCUCGUCACCGUAGGUUAGCUUCGCGGCGUCCUCGAUGGCCUUAUCCACAUCUAGGCCUUCCUCAACCUUGUUGGAAAGCCUAGUCUGUUCAGCAAACUCCUCUGAUGUCAUGGGCCUUGUGGUUCGCAUACUACAAGCCAGCUGCAAAGCAUCAAAACAUCAUCUCAGAAAUAAAAGCAAAGGAAAAACUCACACUAAAAGAGAGACACAAAUAACAUCGUUACCUUCGAGAUCCUUGAGGCCAAGGAAAACAACAUAUGACACAUGAAUCUCAAAGCACGGAAGCAACGAGCAAAGCAGGAGCGCAAAAGGUCUCAGCCGUGAGUGUAAAAACAAAAGCGACCCACACCCCCCCCCCACCCUUUAUAGGCACGGUAAAGGGCGUGAAACGGCACCUAAAACCUCGAGCCGAAUACGAAGGGUCAUCCAAUAGGAAAGCGACACAUUACACCAAAAAGGUAACCGUUGGCCCAUUUCUAACCAACGCUCGAGGGUGACAUUUUUUAGGAUAAGAUCCUUAAGUCGCGGGUUCGGUCAUCGGUGUCGUGCCUCGCCCACGAGGGGCUACUGUUGGGGAUUGUCCAAAAAAGAUGGUCACCCUUGAGGUCAUUUUGAUAACCAUGAUCAACUCAGCCCCACAAAAUAAGUAGCCUCGGGCGAGAGUUCCUAACCUCGAGGAACAAAUCUGGCAUGAAAGACAGUUCUAACCUCGCAACGCUGCCGCAAGGUCAGUCUCGAAGCUAGGAAACAAUUACUGAUUGUCAAGCACUAAUCAAGCUUACCCUUGAGUGCUCAAAGAUGACUCCGAGCGCCGAGUUGUCCACUAUCUUAUGUAGUGUCGUUGAAACAAGCCGUGGUUCACGGUGCGGAGGUGGGGUCUCUUUGGCCCGAGGCUAAGGUGGUCUCGGGCCAGAGGUCAAAGUCAUGGAGGUGCUGAAAACGUGGGAGCGUGAUUCGCGGGACUUGCUCAGAGCGUGAUUCGCAGGAUUGCUGAAGGCGUGGGAAGCAUGAUUAAAGGAGGAGACCAAGUCAUACAAGUUACCUCUUAAAAAGACCUCUAUGUAAAGCAUAUUCUAGUAACGUAGUGGGUGAGUAAGGAUAAUCGCGGAAUUUAAAGUGUCCUCCGAGAUACUAUAAAAAGGGAGAGCCCUGUAACGUUACGUUCAUUUUCAUGGAAUUGAAUCGCAGCAACUGAAACUUUCAGUUGUUUCCCAACAUCAGCAGUGUUUCCCUAUAUUACACUUGUAUUUUCUGCACAUCAAAUGGAUAUGCACAUCAAAUGAGCUAUUAUUUCCGUUCGAAACCAAAAAGAUCGAUAUGUUGCAUUGAUUCAGAUUGAAUUUUACGCCAAGCUUAGAUGGUGAUUCUGAUGAAUUAUUUCUCCUAAUUUUUAUAUGGGGUUGCUGAAUCAGGCGAGCCCAUUAAUUAGUAACACAUCUUGUCGGCGGGUCAACCGUGUUAACGUGCAUGCUACUUGCACAACUGUAUUAUACUCUCACGAUGGACAAAUUUUCUGCCUACAAAUAGCGCAUCUGCAUUGCUAUCCCAACAUGCACUUCUCCUCCUCUCCGAUCUCUUCCUAUAGCUAUAGCUGCAACAACUAGCUAGUCCUGAUCACCAUGGCUGCCGCGAUGCUCAAGAUGGCCAUUGUUGCCGCCUGCAUCGCGCUGGCCCUGCUCUCCAUGGGUCCGCCGGCGGCGAUGGCUGACAUCCAGGACGACUGCCGCGCGACUUGCCGUGGUCUCUGCGAUGGCUUCGGUACGAACACGUGCAAUAACAUCAUUGCCAUCGCCCCUGCUGUCCUGAACAAUAUCAACUUCUUCUUCACGACGUGCAAAGUGAGGGUCACUGGGCUGUGCGCGUCCUUCUGCGUCACUACCUGCAGCCUCAACACCGUGACGCCGGCCAGCCCGCCGCCACCACCAUGCAAGCCAUAAUUGGUCUAUGCGUAUUACUACAGCAUGAAUGUAAUUCAAGUCCCGGCCGUAGAUCCGGGUAUUUGCGUUUAAUUCUAAUUUCCCUUUGAUUGUUCCGGUUGUCGUGUCACACCUGCAUAUGUAAUUCAAGUCCAGUCAUGCAUUAUUGUGCACACCUGCAUAUGUAAUUUUAUUUGAAAAGGUUAUUACCUAUCUUGAGAAAUUUACGGCUAUUAUUUUUACCGCGAUAUAUUUACCUGCAUUGUACCUUCCAUCACAAUACUAUGGUUAAUUUUUCUAUUUCUCUAUCUUCUAUCUCUUCCCAAAAGUUUGAGCUGAUGUGCUCCUCCCUCCUCUCGGACACAAUUCCACUACUGGAUACUCCCUCCGUUUUUAUUUAUAAGGUGCACACACAUAUCAAGAUUCAAACUUUGCAAUCUUUGACCAAUAACGUGACCAUUAAUUUUUUAUUUGUAUAAUAUAACUUUGUAUGGUUGGAUUCAAAAUCAAAUAUACUCUAUUGUGAUUAUAAGUUUAUAAUCAUAAAUAAUAUAAUAUAAGAAAAAUGAAUGUCAUCAAAGUGUUAUUUAGAAGAUCGUACCAAAUCAUACUAUGCCUUAUAAAAAUAGAUGGAGUGAGUACUACCCUAACUGCAUUAAAUAGAUCGUUGAUGUUUUGCCACCAAAACCCCCAAUGUUGAUCUUCCACCACCAUAGCUAGAGGCACAACGCCACACAACCCCCCCCCCUCCUACUCUGUUGCCUCCAGCAGGCUAGCAUACGCGCGCCCAUGGUCUCCCCCUAAGCGUGCCCCUUAUCCAACCUGAACCCUAAACAUCGCCAACAAAAAUUGGACAACAUAGCUAGAACCCUCAACUGUAUGUGGUCCCAGAGGCUGGAUAUUUUUUUCCACUUUCUAAAGAAACAAUGGCAAACCCUACCGAUCGUGAUAUGGACAGUCAGCAACCCUAUUUCUCCGAAUUUUCAUAUGCAGGGACUGGAUGACAACUUCAUUAUAAACUCCCUCAGUCAAUGGAGCUCAUUAGAAAAUGUUAUACAUACUGGUACGCUGGUGUGUGUGCAUGUAAUAUCUCAUUAACUACUACAAUGAGGUGUAGAAGUUGUGAGGGGCAGCCUUCCAUAAUAAUGAGAGUGUCAUUAGCAUAUUGUAUAAUGGGAAAGUCUUGGCUAUAGUUUACUUGUAUUGGAAGAUGUAAGUGACCCUGUGUUUUUGCAUGGUUCAGAAGAGUUUGAAGCAGAUCAGCACCAAGGACAAAAAGAAGGGGUGAGAGAGGGUCACCCUGUCUGACUCCCCUCUUACAGAUGAACCUUUUCCCUGGAACCCCAUUCAGAAGGAUGGAGGAAGUCCCUAACUCAAAAAUACGCCCCAUCCAUUGCAACCAUCUUGGUCCAAAACCCUUGUGCUUCAUGAUCGCCAUCAUGGCUAUGUGUUCAAUUGUAUCAAAAGCUUUCUCAAAAUCCAAUUUGAGAAUGACAAUCUCUUUUUUAGAUUUAUGACACAGGUAUAAGUAUUCAAAGGCCCAAGCAAGGCAAUCUUGAAUGGUUCUUGUCUUAAUAAAGUCAUAUUGGUUUUUGUGUACUAGACCAGUGAUCAACUGUUGCAGCCUAUUAGCCAGGAGCUUGGUGAGCAGCUUUACAGAAUUGUUGAGCAAAGAGAUUGGUCUGUAGUCUACUAUAGAUGCAGCUCCAUCAAUCUUAGCUAUUAAGGUAAUAUAAGAUCCAUUAAUACUUUGUUGGCAAAUAUCACCCGCAUGAAAGGCUUGGCAAAGAUCAUAAAAUCUUCCUUAAUAAUAUGCCAGCAUCUUUUGAUGAAUGUGGUGUUAAACCCAUCAGGGCCAGGAGCUUUAUCAUUUGGUAAAUCUUUAAUGACUGCAUCAAUUUCUUCAUGUGUAAAUGGUUCUUCCAGGCAGUGGAGAUUAUCAGCUAAUUGUAGCAAUUGUUGUAGAUCAAAGGCCAUAGGCUGUGGAUCUGAGGUCCCUAGUCUGGCUUUGAAAGCUUCCCGUAGCAGGGUUUCUUUAAUGUGAUUAUUAUCUUGGGGAAUACCAUUGCUGUCAGUGAUGGACUUGAUGAAGUUCUUCCUAUGCCUUAUAGUAGCGUUUGCAUGAAAAAAAUUUGUAGAUUCAUCUCCAAAUUUUACCCACUUUAUAGAUCCACGUUGCUUCCAGUAGGUAUUCUGUAACUGAAGUAGGAACUGUAAUUUGUUCUGCAGAAGAUCCUUAAAGUUCCAUUCAGCCAAAGUGAGGUCUCUACUUUCCUCAAUUAGUUCCAGAAAGGAUAGAGUCAGCUUAACAUUAUGAAUAAGGGACUUCAGAGAGGGUAACUGUGCUUGCCAGGCUCUAAGAACUCGGGGGAGGUUUUUGAAUUUUGCAGUAAUCAUUUUUGCUUUGUCAGUUACAGUAACUGGAAUAGACCACCCAUGAGAUACAACAUCCAUGAACUGCUCAUGUGCAACCAAUAAUUUUCAAAUCUAAAUACUUUACUCUUGGGGAUUUCGGUGUCAAUUCGUGAUGACACAGGGCGAAUGAUCUGAGGUUUCCAUCACAAGUGGAUAUGCCAUGGUGUUUGGAUAAGAUAGGGACCAAGAGCUGGACGUAAAGAACCAAUCUAACCUUUCCAACAAGGGAAGUUGCUGUUUAUUUGACCAAGUGAAUUGUUUUGAUUUGAAAGGAAUUUCCACAAGGCCAAGAGCACUAAUGGCCUCAUUGAACAUGAUCAUUUCUGCUGAGUUGCCCCCAGGACGAUUUCUGUUUGAAGGAUCUCUCAUUAGAUUAAAAUCACCAAGAAUGAGCCAAUCCAUAGAGUCAGGCAUUUGGAUGUUCUUUAACCACUGAACAAAUAUUUUUUUCUCCGCUUCUGUGCAAGGGCCAUAAAUAUUGGUAAGGACCCAUUCAUUGUCAGACAAAGUGGAAGAAAAUUUCACAGACAAGGCGUAAUUAUUACUAAAGACCAGUUCACCAUCAAAGAACCUUGAAUUCCAGAUAACUGCCAAUCCGCCAGAAGCACCUUGGGAGGGCGAAAAUUCAAAUUUGUCAAAAGAAGGAGGGCAGAACUUUCUGAGGAACAUUGUAUCAAGUUGUUCCCUUUUAGUUUCUUGUAAACAGAUCAUGUGACAAUGACUUUCAAUAAUUUUAUCUCUAAUGGAAUUACAUUUCUUAUCAGAAUUAAUCCCCCUUACAUUCCAACACAGAAUAUUCCAGGUUCUCUUGCUAUGAUUGUGAUUCAUAGAUGAUGGAAUAUAUAAAAAUAAACAUGGUAUUGAUGAGCACCAUCACAACCAGCAUCACAAGUAACAAAAGACAAUUCCAACCACAGUGUUUCAGAGUCAUAACAUGCUAAAAAUUUUAUAACAAAGUAUCUCAGAUAGUUCAAGACUGAAAACCAAGCAGCCCCAAUUCCUUCACUGCUUCUUGGGAUUUUUCUUAAUAUUUUUCGGUGCAUCAUUAUCAUGGUCACCAUUUUUCUUCUUGGGCAGCUUCUCUCCUCCACCAGGAGGAGCUGCGGGCUUCUUCUUCUGUAGGGCAGCAGAAGUCAGCUUGGAGGCGUCAACCUUGCAAAAGUCUUCCCCAAGGUUUUUGAUCAUCUCCUGAGACAAGAUGGGUGGAGCAGCUGUGCAACCGAUGCAGUUUUUAUUUUUGCAACCAGAUUUCUUGAAACCCUGAGUAAAGUUCAAAUUUCUUUUACUCCUCCUGAGAUCUUCAUCAGAAAUAGAGUUGGCCACUGAAAGCUUUUGAAAUUUCCUAUUCUGGUCAGCUUGUUGGAGUAGAGCCUUAGACCAAGGCCCGGCUGAGGAGGAGACCUUUUCAAUCAUCUUUUCCAGGGGAGUGCAAGGUGAGGAUCCAUUGUCAGCCAGAGCGUUCUUCAUGACCAGGGUAGAAUGAGAUGAAUCUGUUUGGAUGAGAGGUGUUGUUGCAGGGCUAGCAGUAUCUUCAUCCAACGUUUGCUCAGGAGUAACAUUGUUAGUAUUUGCUACCAGCUCUGGUUGCUUGGAUAGGCACAGAGGCAUGUCUGAAGAUGGGCACUUCUGUGGCAGGGUGAAAGGCAGAGACUGCCCAGAUUGAAUAAAUUGCAGAGCUAGGGAGGUUAGGAAGCUUUUGGCCCAAGCAAAGUUCAGAGGGUUGAGAAGCUGGGCCAUAAAAAAGUUGGACCAAGCCAUGGGGACCUGCAACUGACUAUCGGUCAUAUUAGAAGAGAAGUGUUUGGCCCAUUGCCUAUAUGUUUCUGCAGUGGGUUGUAUGAUCUCUGAAAACUUGGAGAAAUUCAGCUGUGCAAACACAGGGUCUUGUGCUGGUUCAAAAAUUUCCACAAAGCCAAGAUGCAUGUCAUUAUUCCCAUUCAUGGGCUGCAUCUCUUGGAUUGGAAUCUCCCCUAGAAGCUCAUUCUCAUUAAUUUCCUCUUGCAUCAUAUGAAGUGGCUGCUCACCAUCCUGAGGGAUAAAAACCUCCACUUGAAUAGGUUCUGGGUUGAUUUGAGCAGGCAGAGCAUUAUCACUAUCAGAGGAGUCAGAUCCAUCAAUAAUUUGUGCAUUAUCCUCAAUAGGGGCUUCAGCCCCCAGAUUGUCAGCUUCCUGGAUUAGAUUUUCAAUUCCACCCAUAUCUUCCUCAACAGCCAUAUUUAAGUCAAAAUCCAAUGGAUUGGCUGCAUUCACUUCCAUAACUUCAUUAGCCUUCAGAUUGGGCUGACCAUUUGGGCCCAAAGGUGCAGCAAGAGCUUGAACAAUUGGAGCGUGAGGUGCAGGUUGUGGACCAAUCAUUGGAGCAGCAUUUUGGUUGUCAGGCCCACCCGGCCAUAGACCCCAUUGUGGGGCCUGUCCUUGCUGAUUAGCAAAAGCACCUGCACCUGGUGCAUUGAUACCCAUUCCAUUAGCAGGCUGACCAUAACCAAAGAAAUCAAACAUGACAAGGUCCACAUCUCAGGAGGUUGAUCUUCAUCUGCAGGACCAGCACCCAAAAGCCUGUAUUGUAAAAUUUCAACUUGAACUGUCCAUGAGUUUCCUUCAAAAUCCUCCCCUUCAGAGUAGACCAGAAACCAGGGGAUCUCCGAUAAAUCCACCACUCUGACCUUAACAAUGGCUCUAGCUAAAUUGUUAGGAUCUUCUUCCCAAACAAUGAGGUUGCCAAAGACCGCAACAGCCUUUUCAAUAUCAGCCUUUGUCCAAUAGUCAAUAUUAAGAACAAGUAACAUAACCCAAGCUUCACAGUUCACGGUAAUGAGCCUAUUGUUCCAUCCCCUAUUAUGAUCAGAAAACGUAAACCGGUACUGGCCAUAUUCAUGUUGCCCUCCCCCAAUCAGGAAAUCUUUAUCGUGCACAAAGUGAAAACGAACAUAGGCUUGACCAAAGGGGCAAGGUUGAAUGGAGUGAAUGGCCAAUCCGCGGUGAUUCCUCAAGAAGUCAUCUAACAUUUCUCUGAUGGACUGAAAAGAUACCUGUUGAUGUGGUAGUCGUUCAAUUUUUGCAAUCGCCACAUCACUCUGAUUGCUCCGCGGCCUGCCCAUCACGACUCGAGACAUAGGUUUGCGGAAACCAGCCAUUUGACGCUGGCAUCCCCUUGGCAUGAAAGGGGCUGGGUUGAUGAAGUUAUACGCCAUGAAAGCUUCUUGGAGGUCCCCCCAAAUCAAGCGCAGGGCUUGCCUCGGAGCAAUGUGGGCGAGAAGUGUUAUCGGAGGUGUGGGGGUUCGGUGGCGGGUGAGCAACAGGGGGAGGAGCGAAGCUAGGGGUAGGCGGCGGUGGGGUGGAGGGGGUUGCGGAGGCAGUGAAGUUGGCGGGGAAGGCGAAGAAGCACCGCCGGUAACUGCGCUUUGGAAAGGACAUUUCCAGAAAACUUGUUUGCUUGGGAGCAAGAGGAGUAACACCUAAAAGGAGUUUACCCAGCGCCUGAUAAUUUCCAACCGUCGGUUUGAGGCCAGGCAGGGGUCCACCCUUCAGUUGUGAGGGUUGGCGAAACCAGGAGUGAACUUCCGUAGAAUCCCGCUCGAGAGAGCAGAUGAAAAAGUGGGCACCUUAUUUGACAAGCCUGGGAACCUUGGCUUGUAUUUGCAUCGAGCCGCAAAGUGGCCCAAUCGGAAGCAUAGACCACAUCGAAUGGGCCGACGGCACGCCUCCCUCAAAUACGUAGAGGAGAGACACCGAGAGCACUGCUUGCGGCCCAAAUGAAUGCCUAAACUUGAAAAGUGAGACAGGCUAGCGGGUAGUAUUGAAGCAUCCCUUAAAUGAUGGCCUAGCAUAAUUGAAUUCCCUAAAUUAAGCUCCAAAUUAAGGUCAUUAAUGGUCUAGCUGGAAUUUGAAUUUGAAAGUGGACGGUUAGCAGGGGCAUUGAGCUUGUCCUUCUCAGGCGAUUUUCUGAUCCAGCGAGAACCGAUUCGAGAGAAAACCGAUCUUCAUUGUAACUGUGAAGAAUUUGUACGCAAUUGUCUCUGAAGAGAACCCGAAUUACCCAAAGGCAUCAAGUUGGCUCCUGUAAGGGGUAUCCGAGAAGAGGAACUGGGAUUCACUUUCUUAGACGCAACUGAAUCAAAAGGGAAAAAAGUUCCCUGAGAAAUAGCAAGCUCUGAUUGAGCAUAAUGAACUCAUUCCAUAGAUUGAAAACCACAUGAAAGAUUGCGCAUUCGGAAAAGCCAAAUUGAUAGACCAAUAAGCCAACCUCCGUAGAGGACACACAGAAUUUGAAUACCCAAUCAUCCACUUUAUAAACUUGAAAAAGUUGAGCAGAAACACCAAUAACAGGUUGGAGUAAAAAACUCAUAUUCUCCACCGAUAACUUGAUCUUGGAUCUGGUGAAAGUUGCAAGGAGCCAGAAGCUUGACUGAGAGGAGGGAGGAGCGGAGACUCCUAUGCCCAGAAGAGAUCGUACCUUGGCUGAAAAAUCCAAACCCGGGCGAAGGUCCACAUUGGAGAGAACCAUGGCUGAAAAAGACUGGAGAAGGAGAGAGGGGAGGGGAGGUGGUGUUGGACGCCGGGGCCGGAGUGGACACCGGUGGGGGGAGGGGUGCAAGGUGCGUGAGGAAGAAGAGACGGUGGACGCUGGGGCCGGGAUGGCCAUCGGCGGCGAGAGGGAGGGGCGCUCAGGCGCUCAAGCGCACAGGCGCGCGCUCUGGCCCAUCAUAUUGUGAUUACAUGCUCUCCAGUUUCAGAACUUGCUGCACUGGCUCGGCCUCCAUGCUUACGUCAUCAUCAUUGCUGGUGCCAGGAUCAUAUCGGCCUGAUCGGCCGAUUCCCUCGAACUUUGAGAGGAUUAUUUUCACCUUGUCAGUUGAAUGGUCAAACUGACUGUCAGGCCCACGUAUACCACACACGCUGAUCUACAACCUGUACUUGAGCGAAGCAGAACACUCAGGUUUCGUGUGUUAGUACGUGAAGGUCACUGCACGAUUUUUGCGUCAACACACUUUUGGCACGCCUGGUGGGACAGAAAUAUCAAAGGGAAAUUAGUCAAGUACAAGUGUUAUCGAUCAUCGGAUUAUUGGUGGCCGCCUGCUUGUGUUUCUAUCAGUAAUAGUGCUCUAGCCGAUGAGAGUAGUGCUAGAGGAUUUUGAGCCGAUGAUUGAGAAUUCAUUGGAAUAUAAUAAGAAGGGAAUGUGUCAGCAAGUCUUGUGUUCAGCAGCCAAUGGAACGAUAGAGAAGACCUUUGAGUUUUACUGGUAGCCAAUGAAUGUUCUGUGGCAUGUUGCACAGCCGAUGAUGCUAAAUUCCAGCUACUGAUAUGACAGAAAGCUCUUCCAGCCGAUGAGUAGUUUCGGAAAGUAGGGAAAAUGAAUUCUUCCACACAGAGACAUCAAGGUAUUGUCAGUGUUAUUAUCUCAGCUAUUAAUUUCGAAGCAUGAAACAACAUUCAUACUCCGAAAUUAGGGGGGCCUACACGUUGACAACAAAACUUGUUGGUUACUGCACCAAGUUUUGGUGUCCAUAGACUCAUCUGUUGUUUCCACUGCCAGCGAAUUCAUCAGCUUAUAGUGGGAUCAAGGUAUCAAGCCGAUGGGAUUCUUUAUAUUUCAAGAGAAGUCGAUGCGGCUUUGAAUAUUGCAAUCAGACAUCAUUGGCUCCAAAGACAGGCAUCGGACCUCUAUAAUUAGUUUCGAAACAUGAAGCCUUCACUCAGAAACUGGGGGGCCUGUGUUAACACCAAAAUUUGGAAAUAUGCUCUGGAAAGAAGGAAUCGGCCGAUGAUGCGGAAAAAUGACAAAAUCUCCUAAAUAAGGCUAUUUGCGAGAUGGUCGCAAAAAUCAGGAACAUGUGCAUGAAGAAAGAGAAAGCAAUAAAGCAAGAGGAAUAAAAGAAGGAAAUCAACGCACACAUGUACACGACAAGAGUGCCAACAGUUUGGCAUCCAAAGGAUUGUCUUAUAGAAUAAAAUAUUCUGGAAAUAGAGUUGGUUAGGGAUAAGCUUGAUUAGAGAUAGAGUUGGAUUAGUUAGAGAUAGAGUUUUGAUUAGAAAAGAUUGUGUACAUGACUUGCCUUGCACGUGGUUAGAUGCCAACUAUGUAACAUCAAAGGCCAUCCGCCCUAUAAAUAUAAAGGGUCGUGGCCAUUGUAAGACAUCACACGAUCAAUACAACAUAUUUACCUUUACGCAUCUACCUUUCGGCAUCACGCCAUUGCCCUAGGAGUAGGAGUAAUAUAGCUUCUCGACGAGUUCCUUCUAGCAAGCUGGGCUGCAUCAACCUCGAUCUCCAGCAAGCUGCAAGUUCUCAUCAUCAGGUGUACUAGACGUCAACUUCCGGCGUAUCGCUAUCGUUGGGUCUGGUUUCAUCUACCAGUUAUCGAGUAUCUUGGAUCCUUGACUUACGGCGCACCACUUCUGUCUCGAUCUACGGUAUUCACCAGUUAUCCUACUUGAUUAAGUUUGCAUCAGCUGAUAUUUAUCUAUUCUAUCAUCUUACCGUCUAGUUUGCUUUAAUUAGCUCUAGAUCAUAUCAUCGUAGACGAUAGAUCACUUAAUAAACUAUUGCAUCUUAAUCUUAUUUACCCCUUGAGUGGUGUUGGAAUUGAGUUCCAUUGUUAUUGGAUUCAUCGGUUGGCGGGGUUUAAAUUGACAUCCUGCCAAGUGUUUCUAGGCUGCAACUACCGGGCGCAUCGCUGUGGAUCUUGGUUAUUAGCUUGAUGGUUGAGUUAAGGAGGGAGAUAGGGAUGGUCUGAAAUCUCCAACUUCCAUGGGGCGAUCUUUUGGGGGGAUGAGUGUGAUGUAGGAGGCAUUGAUACUUUGCACACAUACUCUUUUUUCAUAGAACCCCUCACAUAAUUCAUAGAAGUCUUCAGCAAUUACCUGCUAGCAUGUCUUGACGAAUUCCCCAUUGAAGCCAUAUGGGACUGGUGACUUGUUGCUUGGAAGAUCCUUGAUAAUUUGGUCAAUUUCUUCUUUUGAGAAGGGAGCUUCCAACCAUUCUAAAUCCAGAACUGGUGUCAAAAGAGAGGGGAGUUCAAAGUACAUGUGGGUAAUUAAGAUCUCCUCAUCCUUUCUUCGUAAGCUUCCCAAAGGAGGCGAGUUUUAGCUUCAUGAUCAGAGAAAGACUGCCCAUUGGCAUAUCUUAGUGAGGAGAUGUAAUUGAUCCUAUUUCAGACAGAGGCCCGAGCAUGAAAAAAUCUUGUACUUUCAUCCCCCAUUUUUUACCUAGUUAAUAGAGCUUGUCUGCUGCCAAUAGACCUUCUGUUGAUGAAGAAGGCUAUUAAGAUGUGAUGAUAUGAUUUCCCAAAAGUUCCACUCCUGCAGGGUGAGGUAUCUAGUUUCUUCGAUGAUAUCUAAGAACUGCAGGACAUCUUUUGUGUUCUGAAUUAUUUUGGCCAAGCUGGGAAGUUGAGACUUCCAAGUCCCGAAAACCUUUCUCAUGUUUUUGAAUUUGGCUCCUAUGUUCUUUGCCUUGUCGGAGCUGGGAAAAGGUGACACCCAUCCUUGUUGGAGAUUGAAAGGGAAUUGAUCAUGCUCUAGCCAGUAGUUCUCAAAACGGUAGACAUGUGGUGUUGGUAGGCUAUUAGAGAUCGACACAAGGCAAGGGAUAUGAUCCGUUGAGUCCCUGGAUAACGAGGAGGUAAAGGUGUUGGGAUAAGUUAUAAUCCAAGAGAUAGAGAUAAAAAAAACCAGUCUAGUCUCUCCAGCAAGGGGUUGAUUUGUUUGAUGGACCAAGUGUACUUGCAACCUUUAAGUUGUAUCUAUGUUAACCUAAUCCUACUAAUUGCUUCGUUGAAGAGAAGCAUUUCCUGAACAUUUCCUCCCAGAUUGUUUCUGUCCUCUGGUUUCCUGAGAAGAUUGAAGUCCCUAACUAUUAGCCAUUUUUCAUCCUCAGGCAUUUCUAUCCAUUUGAACCAAUCUAUAAAAGACAUCUUCCCCUCUAGGGUGCAAGGAGCGUAAAUAUUAGUGAGGAUCCACCUGUCUCCCAAUAGCUUGCAUUGUAGUUCAAUGGAGUGAGCAAAGUUGUUUUGGAAGAUAGGCUCACCCUUGAGCUUGGAGCCAUUCCAUGAUAUUAGAGUGCCCCCUGAGUUACCAGUGGAUGGGAGGAAGUCAAACAGAUCUAGUUGGGGGUGGCAGAAAUUCCGGACAUAUCUUGCGUCAAAAGAUUCUCGUUUAGUCUCCUGUAGACAAACAAUAUUGCAGUUGGACUUAGAAAUUUUACUUUUGAUUGUGUUGCAUCUUGUCUGGGAGUUGAUGCCCCUAACAUUCCAGGAUAACAUGUUCCAGGAUCGUUUCGUGUUCAUUUGGAAAGGGUGUGUGCUUGGUAAUACCUCACUACCGGCUCAACAAAUAGUGUGAAAAUAAGUGUGGAAAGGAGAAUCCUUGAAUUGAAAAGCCAAAAAUGAGGGGAUUAACCCCUCAGAUUCUUUGAAGCAAGACAACCAAAAUAAGGUAAAUCCCACAUUAACCUAACAGCAAAAUAACUGUUCCUAGGAAGUUUAAACACCAACAUAAUAUCAUUUGCAACAUAAAGAUAAAUGAAAGAUAGCUGUCUUCACUGAAACAGACCAGAUGCAAGAUCCAACCAUGUCCCAGAUUAUAGUGCUUCUUGACUAUAUCCCUGGCGUUGUCUGUUUUGGCCUGAUAUUUCUACACUUUCCCCUUGUGUGGAAUAUCCGUCGAGGCCUUUCCCUUUCCAUCUCCAAUGGUCUUUUGAGAGGCGGGCUUAGAGAUUAACAGAUCAUCAGUGGUUCAGGCAGAGUCGAUGCCACACACCUGCCCACCUAGGUCUUGAAUGCUUGAAGAAGAGAGUGAUGGUGGCGUUGCGUUGCAAGCGAGGCAGUUUCUAUCCUGGCAAGUUUUUUUGUGAAAUCCUCCACUUUUGUCUUUGAGUCUAUUGCUUCUCCCGACGCUGGACUCAACUACCGGCACAGCCCUUGCUCCCAAUCUGGCCCUAGAUUUCUUUAGGGCCUUUUCUUCUUCUUGCUCAGGCUCUGAUUCCUUCAGAGGAGAAGAAAUACCGGUCUCCUCCUGCUCAUUAAGACAAAUAACUGGGCUGCUACUGGGGCACAAAGAGCGGAUGGUGAAGGCCAUCAUGGCAGAUAAAUCAGCGUAGCUUAGUAAUGCCUCCCAGACUCUGGAGGCUAGGAACUUCUUGGCCCAAUCGAAGUGUUGGGGGAUAGCAACAUCACCAUGAAGAAAGCGUCCCAAUAUGUUGGUAUGUGAACCACCUGCUCAGGAUAUCCUACAGGAGAGAAAAACUGGGCCCAAAGCUUUUUCAACCUCGAGCAUGACGAUCGCUUGGUUGUCAUCCUUCUUCGAAGUCCCUACCGCGACCUUAGGAGCGAUCCUCUCGACUUUCCUCGUUUUCCCUCUGCCACUGCCACCAGCCUGCUCCAAGCCUAUUGCGCUAGUUUCUCGCAUCCAUUUCAAAAUCUUACAAGGUUUGGGGUGAGGCGCAACCUCAACCCCAAGUUCUUCAAACACAUGAUUGACCCGAAGCUCGUGAGGGACGAUCCCGCGGGCCGAUGACAGCUCAGUCUUAGUGCAAGGGCCAAUAAUAUCAAUGUCAUAUCUCUCAACAUCAUCAACAAAAAGACCGGGGUUGGCACCCUCGGGCAGCUCCACCCCGAAGUGAGGGUAAGGGAGUGGGCUAGUACUCCACGGAACCUCCUUCGGCACAAUCUCCAGCGGACACCACCCAUCGGAAAGGGGCUAGAUGUUAGCUGCCAGAAACUCUUCAACGAGAUCCCGCCCGGGGAUCAACUUCGAGGCUAGGAGGAAAGCGCCCUCACGUUCCUUGACUACCUUGGACCUUGUAAAAGUAGAGGUAGUACUAAUGUCCAUAGGGCCUAAGGGAGCAUAGAAGGGAUAGAAAGGUCGGCUGAUACCAAACGCAUCAGCCAUGUCAAUCUUAAUAUAGAACCAGUAGCUUAGCCAAUCGUCUUCCCACCUAUUCCUCUAUGCAUAAGAAAGCUCAAUCCUCUUGAUUCCUUGCUUCUCAUUGUUCUUCCUCCGAGUCGCGAAGCUACAGCACCCAAACUUUUUCUCAAAAAAACCUUCCUCGUCAUCGAACAUAACUCUCUUCCUCUGGAUAUGGAGUUCAAACAACCUCGCGAACCCAUCGACAUCAAUGUGACUGCCAAAUGUACGCUGCACCCAAUAGAACUUGGACAGAGCAACAAAGGCAUUCGGAGUGAGAUGACGAAGCCUUGCCUUGUAUUGGUCCAAGAUUGUAUGCAAUUCCUUGUCACACGAAAAUCUCAAUCCGAUAAUGAAAAAAUUCCUUGAACACAAUAGCCUCGCCUACCCUAGGCGCCAGCACAUCUUCGUCACCAGGUACCCUAGCAACACCCUCGGGGAAGUAGCCCUUGUCAACGUAAAACUUUAUCAUGUUGUUGGAAACCAAAGACUUCUCGAACUACAUGGUAGGGACGUAUACUUCCUUUGCUGCCAUUAGCUCUGACCGAUCAGCCUCGACGCCUGUAAGGUCCUCUCUACUUUCGGAGCUACUCUCGGAGUCACCAUUGCCCGCGUUACCCUCGUCACCGUAGGUUAGCUUCGCGGCGUCCUCGAUGGCCUUAUCCACAUCUAGGCCUUCCUCAACCUUGUUGGAAAGCCUAGUCUGUUCAGCAAACUCCUCUGAUGUCAUGGGCCUUGUGGUUCGCAUACUACAAGCCAGCUGCAAAGCAUCAAAACAUCAUCUCAGAAAUAAAAGCAAAGGAAAAACUCACACUAAAAGAGAGACACAAAUAACAUCGUUACCUUCGAGAUCCUUGAGGCCAAGGAAAACAGCAUAUGACACACGAAUCUCAAAGCACGGAAGCAACGAGCAAAGCAGGAGCGCAAAAGGUCUCAGCCGUGAGUGUAAAAACAAAAGCGACCCACACCCUACCCCCCCCCCCCACCCUUUAUAGGCACGGUAAAGGGCGCGGAACGGCACCUAAAACCUCGAGCCGAAUACGAAGGGUCAUCCAAUAGGAAAGCGACACAUUACACCAAAAAGGUAACCGUUGGCUCAUUUCUAACCGACGCUCGAGGGUGACAUUUUUUAGGAUAAGAUCCUUAAGUCGCGGGUUCGGUCGUCGGUGUCGUGCCUCGCCCACGAGGGGCUGCUGUUGGGGAUCGUCCAAAAAAGAUGGUCACCCUUGAGGUCAUUUUGAUAACCAUGAUCAACUCAGCCCCACAAAAUAAGUAGCCUCGGGCGAGAGUUCCUAACCUCGAGGAACAAAUCUGGCAUGAAAGACAGCUCUAACCUCGCAACGCUGCCGCAAGGUCAGUCUCGAAGAUGGGAAACAAUUACUGAUUGUCAAGCACUAAUCAAGCUUACCCUUGAGUGCUCAAAGAUGACUCCGAGCGCCGAGUUGUCCACUAUCUUAUGUAGUGUCGUUGAAACAAGCCGUGGUUCACGGUGCGGAGGUGGGGUAUCUUUGGCCUGAGGCUAAGGUGGUCUCGGGCCAGAGGUCAAAGUCAUGGAGGUGCUGAAAACGUGGGAGCGUGAUUCGCGGGACUUGCUCAGAGCGUGAUUCGCGGGAUUGCCUGAAGGCGUGGGAAGCAUGAUUAAAGGAGGAGACCAAGUCAUACAAGUUACCUCUUAAAAAGACCUCUAUGUAAAGCAUAUUCUAGUAACGUAGUGGGUGAGUAAGGAUAAUUGCGGAAUUUAAAGUGUCCUCCGAGAUACUAUAAAAAAGGAGAGCCCUGUAACGUUACGUUCAUUUUCAUGGAAUUGAAUCGCAGCAACUGAAACUUUCAGUUGUUUCCCAACAUCAGCACUGUUUCCCUAUAUUACACUUGUAUUUUCUGCACAUCAAAUGGAUAUGCACAUCAAAUGAGCUAUUAUUUCCGUUCGAAACCAAAAAGAUCGAUAUGUUGCAUUGAUUCAGAUUGAAUUUUACGCCAAGCUUAGAGGGUGAUUCUGAUUGAAUUAUUUAUCCUAAUUUUUAUAUGGGGUUGCUGAAUCAGGCGAGCCCAUUAAUUAGUAACACAUCUUGUCGGCGGGUCAACCGUGUUAACGUGCAUGCUACUUGCACAACUGUAUUAUACUCUCACGAUGGACAAAUUUUCUGCCUACAAAUAGCGCAUCUGCAUUGCUAUCCCAACAUGCACUUCUCCUCCUCUCCGAUCUCUUCCUAUAGCUAUAGCUGCAACAACUAGCUAGUCCUGAUCACCAUGGCUGCCGCGAUGCUCAAGAUGGCCAUUGUUGCCGCCUGCAUCGCGCUGGCCCUGCUCUCCAUGGGUCCGCCGGCGGCGAUGGCUGACAUCCAGGACGACUGCCGCGCGACUUGCCGUGGUCUCUGCGAUGGCUUCGGUACGAACACGUGCAAUAACAUCAUUGCCAUCGCCCCUGCUGUCCUGAACAAUAUCAACUUCUUCUUCACGACGUGCAAAGUGAGGGUCACUGGGCUGUGCGCGUCCUUCUGCGUCACUACCUGCAGCCUCAACACCGUGACGCCGGCCAGCCCGCCGCCACCACCAUGCAAGCCAUAAUUGGUCUAUGCGUAUUACUACAGCAUGAAUGUAAUUCAAGUCCCGGCCGUAGAUCCGGGUAUUUGCGUUUAAUUCUAAUUUCCCUUUGAUUGUUCCGGUUGUCGUGUCACACCUGCAUAUGUAAUUCAAGUCCAGUCAUGCAUUAUUGUGCACACCUGCAUAUGUAAUUUUAUUUGAAAAGGUUAUUACCUAUCUUGAGAAAUUUACGGCUAUUAUUUUUACCGCGAUAUAUUUACCUGCAUUGUACCUUCCAUCACAAUACUAUGGUUAAUUUUUCUAUUUCUCUAUCUUCUAUCUCUUCCCAAAAGUUUGAGCUGAUGUGCUCCUCCCUCCUCUCGGACACAAUUCCACUACUGGAUACUCCCUCCGUUUUUAUUUAUAAGGUGCACACACAUAUCAAGAUUCAAACUUUGCAAUCUUUGACCAAUAACGUGACCAUUAAUUUUUUAUUUGUAUAAUAUAACUUUGUAUGGUUGGAUUCAAAAUCAAAUAUACUCUAUUGUGAUUAUAAGUUUAUAAUCAUAAAUAAUAUAAUAUAAGAAAAAUGAAUGUCAUCAAAGUGUUAUUUAGAAGAUCGUACCAAAUCAUACUAUGCCUUAUAAAAAUAGAUGGAGGGAGUACUACCCUAACUGCAUUAAAUAGAUCGUUGAUGUUUUGCCACCAAAACCCCCAGUGUUGAUCUUCCACCACCAUAGCUAGAGGCACAACGCCACACAACCCCCCCCCCCCUCCUACUCCGUUGCCUCCAGCAGGCUAGCAUACGCGCGCCCAUGGUCUCCCCCUAAGCGUGCCCCUCAUCCAUCCUGAACCCUAAACAUCGCCAACAAAAAUUGGACAACAUAGCUACAACCCUCAACUGUAUGUGGUCCCAGAGGCUGGAUAUUUUUUUCCACUUUCUAAAAAAACAAUAGCAAACCCUACCGAUCGUGAUAUGGACAGUCAGCAACCCUAUUUCUCCCAAUUUUCAUAUGCAGCGACUGGAUGACAACUUCAUUAUAAACUCCCUCAGUCAACGGUGCUCAUUAGAAAAUGUUAUACAUACUUGUAGGCUGGUGUGUAUGCAUGUAAUAUCUCAUUAACUACUACAACGAAUGAAAUGCAUGCUCAUCCUACUGUAAUGCAUUCAAACGACUCUAAGGGCCUGUUUGUUUCCCUCCUGGAUUAUAUAAGCCGGAUUAAAGGGUAGGAGGAUAAAAGAUCAUCAUGGGAUCACUAGGGGACCACAGAUAAUCUGAAAUAAGCUAGCCUUUGGUAGCUUAUUUCAGAUUAUACGUGGUCCCAAAAUGAUAUUUUACCAUAGUAUUCAAGACCCAUAAUCCAACUUAUCUAAUUUAGGUGGAUUAUAAUCCCAAACAAACAGGCCUAUACCUUCUAAUGCUCAUCACACUGCUUGCUGCGUCAGCCACGCUUGCAAACGUGCAUGCUACUUGCACCACGCUGCUCGUUAGUCAGCAGUUUGUAGCAGCCAUGCAUGUUAUCAUUUUCUAUCAACGAAUCUCAGGAGCAAGCAUACACGUACGUACGUGAUGGCACAAUUGUGUACAGCGGAUGCCUAUAUCUUGCUAGACUAAUAGGAGAGAGUACGUUUGGAAUGUUGAUGCUAAUCAUAGCGAUCAAAACGCGCUAGAAAAAAAUUGAUAAAUCCUUCUUCUUCUUUUUGUUCUCGGCCAUUAUGAUUCCUUAUGGUAUUUGGAUGGAAUGAACUUGGGGAUACGAGUGAGUGAGCGAGCAACACUUUAUCUUUGGAUAUGAUCCCAAGUUGCAUGCUUUUUUUUCCAGGUGCAUAGUUGUAUGAUGCUUGAGCUAUAGCAUUGCCAAAUUCAUCACUUUUUCCCCUAUUACGCUGGUAUUUUCUUCACAUCAAAUGGAUCCACUAGCCGAGCUAUUUUUUUGUUGGAAAUUGAAAAGAUCUGUUGCAUUGAUUCAGAUUGAAUUUUACGACAAGCUUAUAGGUUGAUCCUGAUUCGGGCAGCAGGGCAAUCUUAUUUAUCCUAAUUUUUAUAUGAGGUUAUUUAUCCUAAUUUUUAUAUGGGGUUACUGAAUCAUUGCGAGCUCAUUAUGAACUGCCAGCAGUAGUCAACGGUACUCCUGCUAGCACCAAAUCUUUUAAUUCUAUUAUUGGUGUGGGUGUGGGUCAACCUGUUUACGUGUUGCAUGUGCGCUACUUGCAGAACUGUACAUGAACCGAGGGGGGAACGUUGUUGAAAGUCCAGUCAUUCCUCACAGACCAAAUGCUCCAGGUCAUCAGGAUAGUGAUCUCCAUGAAGAAGGGUACAUUCAGCUUGUGUUGGAUAGAGCUGAGUAUCCGGAGUGGAUGUCUGGUGGUAACCGUUGUUACUCCAAUGGAUGACCAGCAGGUUUUUGCAAAGUUGCAUCUGAAAAAGACAUGUGCCAUUGUCUCUCUUUUUUGAAGGAUGCAAUGCUCACAGGUAUAGGAUUCAAGGCUCAUUGUUUUCCUGCCUAGGAUAUCCUUGUACUUAGUCUGUCUUUACUUAGCAGCUAGAAAAACACCUUAUGUUUCUUUUGGCGUUUCGACUUCCACAGCCAUCGGUGGAUUGGGUGGACACUUCUCAGGCCCAUCACGGCCUUGUAAGUUUUCGCAACUGAGAAGUGGGGGCUGCCCCAGAUGUAGGUCUACUGAUCUCUAUCCUGCUGAGUGACAACAUUCCUCAUUCUAUUUUGCAGAGUAAGUAGCUGUUGAUGGGCUUCUCCGAGAGUGGCAGAUGGAAGUUGUGAGAUAGGGAAGGUCUCCUAAUGGCCUCUUUGUAUGCGAUUAGCUUGUUUUUAGCGAAUGAAAAGAGCUGGGGAAAUUCCAGGGAGAGAACCUGCUCGUUCCAUGUGUCCAUCCAGAAUAAGAUAGUAGAACCAUCCGAAACCCAUACUAAGGCUGUCUAGUAAUUUAACUACGUCUUUCCAUCAAAAUGAGCCUUUUUGUUUAUGUCCAAGCAGUUUUCCAUUAUGAUAGUAGUUGUCUCAGACUAGAUGUACCUAUGGGAUGUCUGCCUUCGUGAAGAACUUAUGGAGGAACUUGAGCAGGAGAUCCUCAUUUUGGCUAUUCAGACUAAUGACUCCAAGUCCUCCUUGCUGUUUGGGCAGGCAUACCAUAGGCCAGGCCGCUUUGGAUGGCCUUUUAGAUGAUAAGUCAGAUCCUCGCCAGAGGCAAUGCUUCCUGUAGUUGUCCAGUUGAGAGAUGAACCCCUUGUGAAGCUUCAGAGUGGCCAUAUGGAACAUUGGUGAGUACGAGAACACCGAAUUAACCAGCUCUAGUUUGCUCCCGUGGGAUAGCAUGUUGGAGAUACCACCUAUCCUUCUCUCCACUUUCUUGAUUAGGGGUAGAAAUUCCUCAAUAUUAGGCUUUGUUGUUCCUAGUGGCAGUCCUAGGUAAGUGGAAGGAAAGCUUCCAACCUGACAGUCAAAAACUGAUGAGAGUUGUUGUAGUUUUUCCUCAGGAGUGUUCAGGGGGACCAUAACAGAUUUGUUGUAAUUGACCUUAAGUCCUGUUGAGUCUGCAAAAAGGUUUAGCAAAUGCUUUAGAUGCAGCAGCUGAACUGGGUCGGCUUCCAUUACCAGUAAGGUAUCAUGUGCGUAUUGGAUGACUAGGAAAUCUAGACCAGCUCUUUCAGGUAUUGGCAAUUGUAAGCUUCCUUCCUCUUUGGCCUUAUUCAAAAUAGAUUGAAGGAGGUCCACUACUAGCACAAAGAGGAGUGGAGACAGCGGAUCCCCUUGCCUGACCCCUCGUCUGCAGUGGAAGACUUUCCCUGAUACUCCAUUGAGUAGAAAUGAGGAUGUUCCAGAACCGAGGAUGUCCUUAAUCCAUCCUAUCCAUCUAUCCCCAAAGCCCUUGUGUUUUUGGAUGUCCAAGAUGGCAUGGUGUUCUAUUCUAUCAAAUGCCUUCUCGAAGUCAAGCUUGAGAAUGAUGAGCUCCUUCUUGGAAGUCUUACAAAUGUGUAGAUAUUUAAAUGCUUAGGCUAAACAAUCUUGAAUAGAUCUGGAUUCUAUGAAACCAUAUUGGUUCUGAUGCAGUAGUCUUAGGAUGAUCUUCUGAAGCCAUUCUGCUAGGAGCUUGGUUAUUAGCUUGAUGGUUGAGUUAAGGAGGGAGAUAGGUUUGAAAUUUCCGACUUCCAUGGGGCAGUCUUUUUUUGGGUUGAGUGUGAUGUAGGAGGCAUUGAUAUUUGCACGCAUACUCUUUUGUCAUAGAACCCCUCACAUAAUUCAUAGAAGUCUUCAGCAAUUACCUCCUAGCAUGUCUUGAGGAAUUCCCCAUUGAAGCCAUCUGGGCCAGGUGAUUUGUUGCUUGGAAGAUCCUUGAUAAUUUGGUCAAUUUCUUCUUUUGAGAAGGGAGCUUCCAGCAAUUCUAAAUCCAGAACUGGUGUCAAAAGAGAGGGGAGUUCAAAGUACAUGUGGGUAAUUAAGAUCUCCCCAUCCUUUCUUUGUAAGCUUCCCAAAAGAGGCGAGCUUUAGCUUCAUGAUCGGAGAAAGACUACCCAUUGGCAUAUGUUAGUGAGGAGAUGUAAUUGAUCCUAUUUCUGACAGAGGCCCAAGCAUGAAAAAAUCUUGUACUUUCAUCCCCCAUUUUUUUCCCAGUUAAUAGAGCUUCUCCGCUGCCAAUAGACCUUCUGUUGAUGAAGAAGGCUAUUAAGAUGUGAAGAUAUGAUUUCCCUAAAGUUCCACUCCUGCAGGGUGAGGUCUCUGGUUUCUUCGAUGAUAUCUAAGAGCUGCAGGACAUCUUUUGUGGUCUGAAUUGUUUUGGCCAAACUGGGAAGUUGAGACUUCCAAGUCCUGAAAACCUUUCUCAUGUUUUUGAAUUUGGCUCCUAUGUUCUUUUCCUUGUCAGAGCUGGGAAAAGGUGACACCCAUCCUUGUUGGAGAAUGAAAGGGGAUUGAUCAUGCUCUAGCCAGUAGUUCUCAAAACAGAAGACCUGUGGUGUUGGUAGGCUAUUAGAGAUCAACACAAUGCAAGGGAUAUGAUCCGACAAGUCCCUGGAUAACGAGGAGGCAAAUGUGAUGGGAUAAGUUAUAAUCCAAGAGCUAGAGAUGAAGAAUCAGUCUAGUCUCUCCAGCAAGGGGUUGAUUUGUUUGUUGGACCAAGUGUACUUGCAACCUUUAAGUUGUAUCUCUGUUAACCUAAGCCGGCUAAUCGCUUCCUUGAAGAGAAGCAUUUCCUGGACAUUUCCUCCCGGUUUGUUUCUGUCCUCUGGUUCCCUGAGAAGAUUGAAGUCCCCAACUAUUAGCCAUUUUUCAUCCUCAGGCAUUUCUAUCCGUUUGAACCAAUCUAUAAAAGGCAUCUUCCCCUCUGGGGUGCAAGGAGCAUAAAUAUAAGUGGGGAUCCACCUGUCUCCCGAUAGCUUGCAUUGUAGUUCGAUGGAAUGAGCGAAGUUGUUUUGGAAGAUAGGCUCACCCUUGAGCUUCAAGCCAUUCCAUGCUAUUAGAGUGCCCCUCGAGUUACCAGUGGAUGGGAGGACGUCAAACAGAUCUAGUUGGGGGGUGGCAGAAAUUCUAGAUGUAUCUUGCGUCAAAAGAUUCACAGUUAGUCUCUUGUUGACAAGCUGGACUCAGAAAUUUUAGUUUUGACUACGUUCCAUCUUCUCUAGGAGUUGAUGCCCCUAACAUACCAGGAUAACACGUUCCAAGAUCGUUUCUGGUUCAUUUGGAAAUGGUGUGUGCUUGGUAAUACCUCACUGCCGGCUCAACAAACAGUGGCAAAAUAAGCGUGGAAAGGAGAAUCCUUGAAUCAAAAAGCCAAAAAGGAGGGGAUGAACCCCUCAAAUUCUUUGAAGCAACACAACCACAAUAAGGUAAAUCCCACAUUAACCAAACAGCAAAAUAACUAUUCCCAGGAAGUUUAAACCACCAACAUAAUAUCAUUUGCAACAUAAAGAUAAAUGAAAGAUAGCUGUCUUCACUGAAACAGACCAGCUGCAAGAUCCAACCAUGUCCCAGAUCCCUAGUGCUUCUUGACUGUAUCCCUGGCGUUGUCCGUUUUGGCCCAAUAUUUCUUCGCUUUCCCCUUGCGUGGAAUAUUUGCCGAGGCCUUUCCCUUUCCAUCUCCAAUGGUCUUCUGAGAGGUGGGCUUGGAGAUUAAUAGAUCAUCAGUGGUUCAGGCAGAGCCGAUGCCACACACCUGCCCACCUAGGUCUUGAAUGCUUGAAGAAGAGAGAGAUGGUGCCGUUGUGUUGCAAGCGAGGCAGUUUCUAUCCUGACAAGUUUUUUUGUGAAAUCCUCCACUUCUGUCUUUGAGCCUAUUGCUUCUCCCGACGCUAGACUCAACUUCUAGCACAGCCCUUGCUCCCAAUCUGGCAUUGGCUUUCUUUGGAGCCUUUUGUUCUUCUAGCUCAGGGUCUGAUUCCUUCAGAGGAGAAGAAGUACCAGUCUCCUCCUACUCAUUAAGACAAAUAACAGGGCUGCUACUAGGGCACAAAGAGUGGAUGGCGAAGGCCAUCAUGGCAGAUAAAUCAAUGCAACUUAGCAGUGCCUCCUUGGCUCUGGAGGCUAGGAACUUCUUGGCCCAAUCGAAUUGUUGGGGGGAUAGCAACACCACUAUGAAGAAAUCGGCCCAAUGUGUUGGUAUGUGAACCACCUGCUCAGGAUAUCCUAUAGGAGAGAAAAACUGGGCCCAAAUCCUGUAGACAUUUGGAUUUUGACAUGGAGCUGAGGCCCUGGGGGUGGUAAUGUCCUUGAUGCUAGGUCCAUCUAUCACAGGAAUUGAUUGUCUGAGUCUGCCUAAGAGAAGGUCCAGGUCAUGUGUGUUUGGUUGAACUGGGGUGACUACCAUGUUGACAUUAAGAUUAACCUGAAAAGGGGCCUCCUGGGCUUGAUUUGGCAAAAUACCCUGCUGUCCUGGGGGGAUGGCAGGCAACCCCAGCACCACAUCCUGAUCCAUCUCCAUAUCAUUGAGUUGAGCCCCAGCUUGUUCUGCAUGGAAGUCCAUAUUUUGGCCCAAUGGGGGCAUUGCAGCCACCACAUCAUCCAAUUCCAUAAUCUGAUUGUUGAGAACCGGUGGGUCUUGCACGAUCACCACUGGAAGAGGAGCUGAAGAGCUCGAGGAGUUGGUUGGAGGAGACAGGUUAAGGUCACCGGCGGAGGGAGAGCCCGCACUCCGCUCUCAACCACAACUGUUGUAAUAUUCCAAAAAUUUGAAAUAUUAUCAUGGUUGUAAUUUUCUCAAAAAUUUGAAAACUUUAUGUAUGGAUGUGUGCGAGUUGCAAACUACUCUAUCUCUCUCUCUCCUAAAUUCUAAAUUUCAAUAUGUGUGGCAUGAUUUGGAGUUAUGGAUCUUAUUUGGAGUUCUUGUUUGAGUGUUGUAUAAAAGCAAACUCAAUCCCUAAAUUCAAUUUCAUAUUCCAAAUUCAAAUAUGAAAUCAGAUAAAAACAAAAGCAAAACAAACUCCCUCAGCCAGGCCAGCCUACCGGCCAAAAACUGCUUUCAGCUCAGCUUGCCACGCUAAGUAACCAGGCCACCUUCGGCCCAACUUCAACCGCUGGCCCGCCUACCCCCUUUCCUCUUUUCCAGCUACAGCGGGCUACCCACCUUUCUUUCUCUUUUCGCCCAGCCCAAAGCAACCAGCCCGCUUAACCCUUUCCCCUUAGCUUCGUGGGCCGCUCUUCCUUUCCUUCAGGCCGGCCUGCAGGCCACUUUCUUCUUCCACAAACCGCCAACCCAGUCCGUCUCGACCUCCCCUCUCCUAUUCUUCUUCAACCUCGCACGGAUGCAAAAGCGUCGCGCGCAGGUGCACUACCUCGCGGCUGGGGGUGGCGUGUCCCGCUUCUGGAGGCUUCCACCAGGCGCUUCUGCUACCCCUACUCCGCCACCUACCCCCGCUCCCAGGGCCGUUGGAUGCACCGCAAUGGGCUCCAGGUGCGUAACCCUAGGAUCGACGGCCAGGAAACUCUAUGCCCCUCCACUGCCUUGGCCAAGCUAUAAAAUGGGGCUUUGGGCAUGCCCUAAGGCCAUCCCAUCCGCUCCGAGGGCUGCCUGUCCACCACCACCACCCAGUUGAGAGGAGGGCCGAGUUGAGAAGAAGGGUUGGGAGGAGAAGGAGGAGGCCCUGUCGAAGGAGUUGCUGCCAUCCGCGGGAGGAAUAAGGCGCUGUCCGAGGGAGUCACUGCGUGAGAAGAAGGCACCGUCCGAGGGAGCUCCAGCGAAGAAGGAGGCGCCGUCCAUGUGAAGCGUCGUCGCCAACUUCUUCCUCCUCACCACCGUCUACCUCGUCUACUCCACCACCACCUCUUCUUCCCCUUCGCCGAGACAGCCUUGUAAGCCUCCAAGAUCUCACCUUUCCCCUCUCCUGACUACCUGAAACCCUAAAGCCAUGGCCUUUGUGCUACCCUUUGCCUGCUUCGCCUGUGGAAGCACUUAUCGCCACUGUCCUUGCAUUUGAGCUCGCGUGAACCUCCUUGCUUGCUCGCGCCUCACUACUUGCGCUGCUCGCCCAGCUUGCCUUGGCCGUUUUCGCGUGCGCCAACUCUGCUGCUUGCCUUUGCAUGCACCCGCCCGCGCACCGCUGGGUCGUGUGCCCGCUUCUAACCGACGCAACGUCGCGCGAGGUUCGCGGUCACCAUGGCCGCUGGCUGCGGCAUCAUGAUGCUGUUCGCAGUCACCGCCUGCGCGUCGCGCGGCACAGCGCGUCGUUCGUGCACCGCACUCGCUGCCUGCCCGCUGUGCGGGCUUCGCAGCUCGCCGUGACACGCCACGGCGCACUAGCGCUCACCGCCGCCAUCACAAGCCACGUGGCCGCCCCGUCAGCGCCAUGUGGCAGGUGGGGGCCCACCUGUGGGUCCGCCCAUGGGGCAUACCUGUGGGGCCCAUCGUUGACCAGUGGGGUCCAUGCGUUGACCGUUGACCAUUGACCCAGUAAUGCUUCUUUCUCCUCUUUGCAGGGUCCUCCUCGUAUGCAAUCCCUAUAAUGAUUUUGCAACAUGAGCAAUUGUACCUGAAUCAAUCCACCAAGUAUAUCUACAGCACCCAAACUGUGUCUCAAAAAUACCUUCCUCGCAAUCGAACAUAACUCUCUUCCUCUGGAUAUGGAGUUCAAACAACCUCGCGAACCCAUCGACAUCAAUGUGACUGCCAAAUGUACGCUGCACCCAAUAGAACUUGGACAGAGCAACAAAGGCAUUCGGAGUGAGAUGACGAAGCCUUGCCUUGUAUUGGUCCAAGAUCGUAUGCAAUUCCUUGUCACAUGAAAAUCUCAAUCCGACAAUGAAAAAAAUCCUUGAACACAAUAGCCUCGCCUACCCUAGGCGCCAGCACAUCUUCGUCACCAGGUGCCCUAGAAACACCCUCGGGGAAGUAGACCUUGUCAACGUAAAACAUUAUCAUGUUGUUGGAAACCAAAGACUUCUCGAACUACAUGGUAGGGACGUAUACUUCCUUUGCUGCCAUUAGCUCUGACCGAUCAGCCUCAACGCCUGUAAGGUCCUCUCUACUUUCGGAGCUACUCUCGGAGUCACCAUUGCCCGCGUUACCCUCGUCACCGUAGGUUAGCUUCGCGGCGUCCUCGAUGGCCUUAUCCACAUCUAGGCCUUCCUCAACCUUGUUGGAAAGCCUAGUCUGUUCAGCAAACUCCUCUGAUGUCAUGGGCCUUGUGGUUCGCAUACUACAAGCCAGCUGCAAAGCAUCAAAACAUCAUCUCAGAAAUAAAAGCAAAGGAAAAACUCACACUAAAAGAGAGACACAAAUAACAUCGUUACCUUCGAGAUCCUUGAGGCCAAGGAAAACAGCAUAUGACACACGAAUCUCAAAGCACGGAAGCAACGAGCAAAGCAGGAGCGCAAAAGGUCUCAGCCGUGAGUGUAAAAACAAAAGCGACCCACACCCCACCCCCCCACCCUUUAUAGGCACGGUAAAGGGCGCGGAACGGCACCUAAAACCUCGAGCCGAAUACGAAGGGUCAUCCAAUAGGAAAGUGACACAUUACACCAAAAAGGUAACCGUUGGCUCAUUUCUAACCGACGCUCGAGGGUGACAUUUUUUAGGAUAAGAUCCUUAAGUCGCGGGUUCGGUCGUCGGUGUCGUGCCUCGCCCACGAGGGGCUGCUGUUGGGGAUCGUCCAAAAAAGAUGGUCACCCUUGAGGUCAUUUUGAUAACCAUGAUCAACUCAGCCCCACAAAAUAAGUAGCCUCGGGCGAGAGUUCCUAACCUCGAGGAACAAAUCUGGCAUGAAAGACAGCUCUAACCUCGCAACGCUGCCGCAAGGUCAGUCUCGAAGAUGGGAAACAAUUACUGAUUGUCAAGCACUAAUCAAGCUUACCCUUGAGUGCUCAAAGAUGACUCCGAGCGCCGAGUUGUCCACUAUCUUAUGUAGUGUCGUUGAAACAAGCCGUGGUUCACGGUGCGGAGGUGGGGUCUCUUUGGCCCGAGGCUAAGGUGGUCUCGGGCCAGAGGUCAAAGUCAUGGAGGUGCUGAAAACGUGGGAGCGUGAUUCGCGGGACUUGCUCAGAGCGUGAUUCGCAGGAUUGCUGAAGGCGUGGGAAGCAUGAUUAAAGGAGGAGACCAAGUCAUACAAGUUACCUCUUAAAAAGACCUCUAUGUAAAGCAUAUUCUAGUAACGUAGUGGGUGAGUAAGGAUAAUCGCGGAAUUUAAAGUGUCCUCCGAGAUACUAUAAAAAGGGAGAGCCCUGUAACGUUACGUUCAUUUUCAUGGAAUUGAAUCGCAGCAACUGAAACUUUCAGUUGUUUCCCAACAUCAGCACUGUUUCCCUAUAUUACACUUGUAUUUUCUGCACAUCAAAUGGAUAUGCACAUCAAAUGAGCUAUUAUUUCCGUUCGAAACCAAAAAGAUCGAUAUGUUGCAUUGAUUCAGAUUGAAUUUUACGCCAAGCUUAGAGGGUGAUUCUGAUUGAAUUAUUUAUCCUAAUUUUUAUAUGGGGUUGCUGAAUCAGGCGAGCCCAUUAAUUAGUAACACAUCUUGUCGGCGGGUCAACCGUGUUAACGUGCAUGCUACUUGCACAACUGUAUUAUACUCUCACGAUGGACAAAUUUUCUGCCUACAAAUAGCGCAUCUGCAUUGCUAUCCCAACAUGCACUUCUCCUCCUCUCCGAUCUCUUCCUAUAGCUAUAGCUGCAACAACUAGCUAGUCCUGAUCACCAUGGCUGCCGCGAUGCUCAAGAUGGCCAUUGUUGCCGCCUGCAUCGCGCUGGCCCUGCUCUCCAUGGGUCCGCCGGCGGCGAUGGCUGACAUCCAGGACGACUGCCGCGCGACUUGCCGUGGUCUCUGCGAUGGCUUCGGUACGAACACGUGCAAUAACAUCAUUGCCAUCGCCCCUGCUGUCCUGAACAAUAUCAACUUCUUCACGACGUGCAAAGUGAGGGUCACUGGGCUGUGCGCGUCCUUCUGCGUCACUACCUGCAGCCUCAACACCGUGACGCCGGCCAGCCCGCCGCCACCACCAUGCAAGCCAUAAUUGGUCUAUGCGUAUUACUACAGCAUGAAUGUAAUUCAAGUCCCGGCCGUAGAUCCGGGUAUUUGCGUUUAAUUCUAAUUUCCCUUUGAUUGUUCCGGUUGUCGUGUCACACCUGCAUAUGUAAUUCAAGUCCAGUCAUGCAUUAUUGUGCACACCUGCAUAUGUAAUUUUAUUUGAAAAGGUUAUUACCUAUCUUGAGAAAUUUACGGCUAUUAUUUUUACCGCGAUAUAUUUACCUGCAUUGUACCUUCCAUCACAAUACUAUGGUUAAUUUUUCUAUUUCUCUAUCUUCUAUCUCUUCCCAAAAGUUU
Molecule: long non-coding RNA, 55592 nt
Filed under: Setaria viridis
Lineage: Eukaryota; Viridiplantae; Streptophyta; Magnoliopsida; Poales; Poaceae
Description: long non-coding RNA (SVIR_LNC009960)
Source: RNAcentral